UGAAUAUCCAUCAUGGGGAAGGGAUGGUAGUGACCCUUUUUAGUUAGGUCUGGUUUGACAAAACCCACAUUCAGGCCCCUGAAUCUGAUAUGCACACUGGGCCUGGGCCUAAACUCCAGGCCAGCUGGUUGGUCCAAGCUUGGCCAACCUAGGGCCAAGGGUCAAUGGCCUGGCCCAAGUUUAUUUUUUUCUUUGUUCUCCCUUUAUUCUUUUUAUCUUUUUGCUCUGAAGGCACUUUUAACAUACAUUUUAAAUGUUUAAAGAGCGGAGUGGAUGGGAUUCAAACCUUUAGAAUGGUGACUAACAUAUAUUAUAACCCCAAUCCACUAGUCGUAUAUUAUUUUACCUGCAAAAUGUAUACUAGAUAUACUAUUCAAAUGCUUUCUAUAUAUAAAUACAUAUUAUUUUUGUGGUAGUUUUUUUAUAAUAUAUAUGUAUGUAUGUAUGUAUGUGUGUGUGUGUGUAUAUAUUACAAAAACUAUCACAAAAAUAAUAAACACAAAACUCGAUUUCUCUUCCUUCGUCUAUACUAACAACUACUCUCUCUCUCUCUCUCUCUCUCUCUCUCUCUCUCUCUCUCUCACACACACACACACAAAAAAAAAACAAUGUCUCUCUUCCAAUCGUAAACUAGCUCUCUUUCUAACCCACAAACCAAGCUCUCUCUCUCUCUCACCCUAAACCACAAACCUAGCUCUCCUUUUUUUACACGAAGCCAACCCUACACUCUCUCCCUCCCCCACCGCCCCCGAGCCACCCCCAAAAAACACACACACACACAAAUAGGGUAGGUAUGGACAGGCCUGGCCGUCUGAUGGCCACAUAUUUGUGUGUGGGUAGAAAGAGAGAGUAGGGCUUUGGAUGGAGAGAAAUAAGAUAACAUCUCCCUGUACCUAAGCGCAAAAACCAUGGCCUCUCUCUCCAUGAUUCAUCGGCAUAGAUUCUACUAAUCCAAUGAGAGGGGGUUGUGAGAGAUAAUGAGAUAUUAAGACUUUAGUGGGAGAAAUAGUAAGAGAAAAACGAGUAGAUCUGGCUUUGUGAAGAGAGCUAGAUUAAUAGGCGGCAAGAGAUAGGGAGCAUUGAGAGAGAGAGAGAGAGAGAGAGAGUUUGGCUUUGUGUAGAAAUGAGAGAGAGAGAGUUUGGCUUUGUGUAGAAAUGAGAGAGUUUGGCUUUGUGCAGAAAAAAGAGAGAGAGAGAGACUAACAGAAUUGACUGGUGGGGGGGGGGAGAGAGGGAUAGACAGUAGCAACCUUGGCUUUGAGCAAUGUGAGAGAGAGAGAGAGAGAUGAGGUUUCUGGGUCAGCAGAGAGGACGAGCGAAGAGCAAGACUUUUAGGUUUGAGAGAGAAAACUUUUAGGUUUGAGAGAGAAAGAAAGAGAGCUAGGCUUGUGGCACAGGGGAGAGAGAGAGAGGGAAAUGGGGUUUAAUGUGUAAAAGAGAACGAGUGAGAGAGAGACAGAGAUUGUAAUACAUACAUAUAUGUAACAACAAAGUGUUUUAAAAACUAAGACCAGAGUAAAGAACAGGUCACCCAUUAGGGCCAGUUCUCGAAGGCAAAUUUGCAUUGAAAGGGGGGUGAGAACGUGAGGAGUCCAGGAAGUCUUUAGAACUGGAGCGGUAUCCCACCGGUUUCAAGCCGGCUAACAGCUUUAAAACACUGAUUACAUCUAUUGAUGUAAAUAAUAUACAACUAAUGGACUUUAAUGUUUAGUGGGUAUGUAUGCUAAUCAUCAUUAUCAGGUUCAAAUCCCACCUCAUCCAUUCUUUAAAGUUUUUAUUCUAUUACAAAAUCUGUACCUAGGGCAAGUCUCUACGGUCCCUAGCCAAUUGUAGCCAAUUUAAGCCCAGCCCAUUGCCAAGCUUAUUUUAUAGUAAUGUAACCAUAAAAUAUUGCUGUAUGAUGAAAUUUCCCCAGAUAUGAUUCCAACUUCCAACUUAAAGAUGCAUGAAUUAUAUAGAAUGAGAAUCCACAUAAGAGAGACAACAAUAGGCGCCCACACCUGCUUAGGCACCCGCCUUUACACGAAUCCUAUUCCGCUAUUCUACCUUAUCAAGGACUAUACCCUCAAUUAGACCAUAGGUCACCAUCUCCUUUCACUACUUCCAUCCAUAGUUGUUUGAGGUGAGAGAGGGUUCAAGAGCGGGAGCAGUUGGGGAAACACCGAACUGCCAUAAGGAGGAAGCUCCUAGAGUUAGGAUCAACAUCCAUACAUCAAUAAAUUAAGGAGUCUAAUCCUAGGAUACCUGGGAACUAGAUGCCAUGUCAAUGGAAUUGAGGUUUCGACUUGGAGGGAUCUAAGCUUCACCGCACAUAAAACGAGAUCAAUUAUUAGUAUAUGACAAAAUUAGGAUCGAGCCAAUGCCUGCUUGAUCCAUUGUCAUACAUCUUCCCUUAUUACCAAUGCUAUAGUUAUAAUACUCCAAUUUACUACAAUAACACAAUUUAAUAAUAUCAUCAAUUGGCUAACUAUGGUCUAAUAAGGGUGAGGACCUUAAACUUUCCCUUAAUUUGUCCCUAGCCCGGGUAAAGGAGGUGGGUUGUGUUAGGUAUGCAGCCAGUGUAAAACUUUGCCACAUCUCAUAACAAGAUUCAUAUAUCCGACCCCAAAUAAUUCGGAUAAGGCUUGGAUGAUGAUGGUAAUGAAAUUGGCUUACUAUGAUACUAAACUAUAGGCUUUUAAUACCAUAUUUCUAGUAUACAGUUUAACAUAUUCUAAAGAAAUAAAUCUAUAAUACCAAGUACAGACGCAGCAAUCCAAUGAAUAGUAUAGCUCCUCUGCUUGGAGGGAACCUACAAGCAUGCAAACCAAGAUCACAGUUUAUAGGGAGAUAGAUUCCUAUUUCUAUAAACCCAGCCCCCUCUAAGAUUCCUUGAGGAAAUGAGAGAUCGAGUUCCUAAGGUGAGAUGUGGCCUUAUCCCCAAGGUUCCCAUAAUUACAUUUCCAUACAUGUCCUUUUGACCUUCCCUCCCUUAAUUUUCUAUAUUUCCAUAAAAUUAAAGAACAAUAUGAUUUUAUUUCUAAUUUUUUACUCUAUUUUAGAAAAAAUAUUGAAUGUAAAAAUUUUGGAGAUUAAUUUGUUAUUUGAUUGGUUGUGCAUGUGCAUUGCCAGGCUCUCGAACAGUAAUAAUAGAAAAGAAUUAGAGAACAAACAUUUAGAAUUUCAACAGAAACAAGAAGCUGCUCUCAAUGCAUCCAAGAAGAUGAGCUGGUUCAAUUAUUCUUCAAGAAAACCACACAAAUUUCUCAGGCAACUUUUCUGGUCUGGUCCGACAGUCAGCCAAACCCAUAAGCAUGGCAAUAUUACUUGAAAUUGAAAGUAAAAUUGCUCCAUGGUUAUUUGGAAUGCAUUUUUCAAUAACUAUGGAUUUCUAUUUCUGGUUUUUAAAAGUCAUGCAACUAAGACUAACAAUAAGGAUAUUUGCCUCGUACAAGUCUUUAAUAGCUCAAAUCCACCAAUCACACUACAGUAAGAAAAGAAGAAUAAAGAAUAAAUCAGAUUCAAUUUGAUCUUAUGAACUUGAGUGAUUUAUGAAGAUUAUAAAGUAGAAAUGCCAGAACAUUUAAAUGAUGAAACAGGAGAUACACCAAUACCUGCAUAUCCCACAUCAUUUUCAGAUAAAGGCGGCAUCAAAUUAAGCCGAUAGUUCACAAAUAGCAAGUCCUCUCAAAGCAACAUAAAAAAGAUCAUAGUUAUGUCAAGUUUAAUCACUGUUACAUGUGCACGUGUCGAGAGAGAGAGAGAGAGAGAGAGAGAGAGAGAGAGAGAGUAGUAAAGUAUAAUCAUAACAAUUAAUAGGGAAAGGAAAUGAUAGUUAAAUAAAAGACACUCACUUCUUUAGAGGAGACUAAUCAAUUGAGGAAAGUUGACAAUCAUAACAAAAACAGGGAAAGGAAAUGUAAAUAGUUAAAUAACAGGCGGUUACUUCUUUAAUAGGUAAUGGGGAUUUGAGCAUACAACUCAAAAUUGCAACUACAAGUGCCCUUCCAAUUGGGCUAUGGCUCAAACCUAGACUCGAAUAGAAACAUCUUCAUUAUCACCAUCAUCAUCAUUAUCUGAGCCUUAUCCCAACUAUUUGGGAUCAGCUAAUGAAUCUUGUUCCGUCAUUCCACUUUAUCAAAGCCCAUGCCCUUAGUCAAACCAUAACUGACUAUAUCUCUUCUCACAACUUUUAUCCAUAUCUUUUUGGGCCUUCCCUUUGCCUUUUUAGAACCCCUUCCACUUGAACCAAAUCAUCCCUCCUAACCAGUAUUGUUCUAGGUCGUUGUUGCACAUGGCCAGAUCACCUAAGUCUACUUUCCCUCAUCUUAUUGCCUAUUGGAGCUGCCCCUAAGUUUCCUCAUAUGUACCCAUUCCGAUUUCUAUCACUUUCUUGUUUUGCCACUCAUCCAUCUCAACAUCCUCAUCUCAACCCCGCCAUGGCCGGUCUCAAGCCCGGAUGAGAAAGGAGGAGGGUUGUAAUAGGUUGGCAGCCAGCAUAAACAUCACUACCAUGAAUGGAAACAUCUUCUCAAACCCAAAUACAAAGGAUGCCACUAGUGAGAAAAAAACAUAAGAGAUUCACUUGGUCAAGUUCAAGGUUAUAAAAUGAGUUAAGCUUUAACAACACAAAUUAAAAACAUAACCAGGGGUGGCAAUAGGUUGGGUUGGCUCCAGGUCGACCCCAAACCAAACCCGACCCGACCCAACUAGGUAUAACAUGGACCCGGACCCAGGUCAAGUCCAAGACAUUUUGACCCGGCCUAACCCACCAGUGGGUUGUCCAAUCCAGAUAUAAAAAAUAUAUUUUAUAUAAUAUAUAUUUCAUAUAUUUUAUACUCAACUAGGACCCGGUCCCAACCCGAUGGAGUCCAAGCCGGACCAGGAUCCGGCCCGACCUUGGUCGGGUCGGGCCACUUGGACCUGGACCCAACCUGUUGGGGCCAACGCUAGACCCACUAGGUCAACCAGAACCAAUUGCCACCCUUAAACAUAAUCAAAGAUGCAUCAGCAAGUCUAAGAACACCAGAGAAUUCUAAAGAGGAUAUUGUGAAGAGUCUCACAAUGACAGAAAAAACUACACCCAAUAAAACUCACCAAAUAUAGUAAUAUAUCACAAUUAGGAUCCCUAUAAAGAUGGCCUUUUCAAGUUGUUACUUAUUCCUUUCCCAUAAGAACUCUAUCCACCAUCACCAAUAAGAUGGUUUCAUGUGCCAAUCAAUUCUCAUAAGAGUAACAUACACAUAGGCUUGGUAAAUCAUCUUAUUCUCAUGGACUGGAGAAACACAUGUGACCCUAGAAACUAGAUAUGGACCCCUCAUUUUUUAGAAAUCCACCCAACUCUGCCAUGUAAAUCACGGUGGCCAUAAAAACAGAAUAGGUUAACGGUUUGGCCAUAAGAACAGAAUAGGUUAACGGUUUGGCCAGACAAUGCCGAGCAGAUUAUUGGAAAGGUGAUGGCUGAAUUGCCACCUAUCGAAUAAUUCACACAAAAGAAUAAUUCCAUAACCAUUGGCUCCAGUCCCGCUGAAAACAUGUGAUCCUAGAAAGCCAAGAAGUAAAAAUAAAAAAAAUGUAGCGUGGUCAAGAACCUUUGCGUGUUAUUUUCUUUUUGGAUUUUGAUAAGGUGCUUCAUCUCUUGUUUUCUUUUUGGCAAAUUACUGGAUAGAGUAAGACCUAACAACAAACAAAUCCUAAGCAUUACAAUACUCGACAAAAGGACAUAAGAGAUGCAAUUUUAAACAGUUGUUUUAAAAGCGUUUGCCAUCUUGUAGAUGGCCCCACAAGGAGGACAUCUGUCUACACUAUACAAACAUAAGAAACGAUAAUUGAGUUCAAGAAAUGGAACCAUUUAAGCAGAGGACAAAGUAAUCAAGUUAAAAUGGGAAGUUGCAUAGAGAAAGAGACAAUGGCCCUUCACAUACAUGAAACUCAAGGGCACGGGCACAUUAGCUGUCAGAUUCACAACACAAACAACAAUAGUCUUUUAUUUUGGGAAGUUUAUAGAAAAUUCUGUUUUCUUUCAUUACUUAAAAAUACUCCCCUUUAUUUCAUAUUUUACACUCGAGUCCCACUUUUCUAGAGCAUAUGGUGUAUUUGAAUUUUAUCUCUUUCUCUAUCUGUUGGAUUAAGCUCAAAUUUGGUAUAUACAUACCUCUCACCAUCACACAUAUGUAAAAAAUUCCAAACAAAAUGUUGAAAGAAAUAUAACUACCAAAAUACCCCUGAAUAUUGCAGGGGUAUUUUGAUCAUUAUUAUUCUUGAAUUAUUCCUGUUACAUUUUUUUGAGUUAUUUUAGCCAUUGGAACACAUAUGUCACCAUGCCUUUUUUUUGGGCAAAAAGGUCAUAUUCCAUAGAAACAAGGAAGUCCACAUUUUUUGUUGGUUACUCAUUGAGAAAAGGCAUCUCUCAAUUUUAAAUUUUUAAUAAACUAAGCAUAACAACAGUAUACGAUACAAAAAGCCUAUAGAUAGUAAAUUAAUUUAAAAAAAGAUUAUGUAAGCCAGUCGGUUUGUACCAUAAGCCACUUUGAAAAGUGGAGGUCAUAUUGACAAAAAAUUUGCACACAUUUAGAUCUCAUCUAGUUCAUCAAAAAAAAGUUCAAUUCGCACAGGAAAAUGAGGGAAAAGGAGUGGACCAUCUCCAUUGAACAUAGGCUGUUGAUUUGGUCGACAGCAGAUCUAGGCCUUCAAGAACUAAAAACCAAUUUUUUCAAAUCAAAGAUAUGCAAAAUUUCUACUAAAAAGAACCCUCUAGCUAUUUGUCCCUUAAAUCAUUUCUAAGCAACUUUUUUUCCUAGGGCAAGUUUUCUCCCACAUUGCUUUAGUCAAGCUCCUCAAGGUCAAUAUAUCAUUCAUAGAUGAUUUACGCCAAAAUAUUAACUGAUUUUACUUGACAAUUGAUCGGAUCCUCAACAAGUACUAACCUGAGUUUGGAAACUUUGAAUAUCUUGCAGCAAUAUCUGUCAAUUAAUUUUUAAUGUAAUUUUCCUAAGAUAAAGAAAUUUCUGUAUCACAAGUAACUAAUGUGCUCAUGAACCCAUGGCAAGUUCAGCAAGAAAAAAAUCAACAUUUCAUCAAGUAAUGACUUGUGAACUGUUCAAUGGAAAUCCCACCAGAAUGGAGAUUAUUAUAAACUUGGGGGGAAAAGAAAGAACAAAUACAAAAAGCAAAGGACAUUCCAUUUACACAAGAAGUGGUAUCUGGAUUCAUAGAUCAUUGUAACAUGGAGGUAUACCUGAGAAAUGCCAAAAGAUGGUGAUGUCAAUAAAUUAUGACAAGGUCGGGCCUAAGAGAUUGAGUAGAGCAAUCAAUAUUCAUAAUUGAAUCCUAUAUACGACAAAGGAUGAGAAAUGCAUCACAUGAAAGCAUUCCCAAUUUGCCAAACUUGAGGCUCAGCUCUUACUUUCAAUCAUAUUCAACUUCAAAUUCUAAUUCAUGGACAACAAACAUUAAAGAAUAAGGCUCAAGUUAUGUAAGAGAACUCAUGCACCUAAAAGCAGCAUAUAUCCCAUAGAGUAAAAAAUUGGUCAAUAUGAUAUGUUAGUUGCAAGUGAAUGUGUGCCCAAGACAAAAAAUUGUUAUGUUAGAAGGAAAGCAUCAAAAUUGUAGGCUCCUAGCUGAUUUAUGGCAGCCCAUACCUUUUCUAAAGAUGCUUACGCACAAUUUUUUUCAAAUUUCAGAGUUACCAGCAAUAUGCCAUGAAUUUUCAUUUUAUCACAUACUACAACCAUCAAAAACAAAAUAAUCUCACACAAUAUAUGAUUAAGAAAACAAGAUGCAUUAAACAACACCAAUAAACAGGAUGAAAGCAUCACAAACAAGCAUAGCAUCCAAGAAAAUAUGCACCAGAGCAAGAUAAAGCAACGCAUAGCAAAAGCAAUGACUUAAAACACCACAUGAUAAAGUACGGACAACAAAUGAAGUCUUACCUGCAUGUAAGGAUAAGUAUUCGCUGCCGCAUUAUCACCAAUCAACAUAGAAUCACACUGAGAGAAAUUCCUUGCAUUCUGAGCAUGCGGCCGAACCUCAACCAAACCCCUAUAACAAUUCCUUGACUUUCCUGCUGAUAUACCUUUUGAAACAAUCCUACUCCUUGUAUUUGUCCCAAGAUGAAUCAUUUUAGUUCCAGUAUCAGCCUGUUGACAAUUGUUUGUUAAAGCAACCGAGUAAAACUCACCAACCGAAUUCUUUCCCCUCAAAACAACACUUGGGUAUUUCCAAGUAAUUGCUGAUCCAGUCUCCACUUGAGUCCACGAAAUUUUUGAAUUAUCGCCAUCGCAUAAACCCCUCUUUGUAACAAAAUUAUAUAUCCCUCCCCUUCCUUCUUCAUCACCAGCAUACCAAUUUUGUACAGUUGAAUACUUAAUCUCAGCACCCUCUGCACAAAAAAGCUCAACAACAGCUGCAUGUAACUGAUUUUUAUCAUAAGAAGGAGCAGUGCACCCCUCUAAGUACCCAACAAAGCUUCUCUCAUCAGCCACAAUUAGGGUUCUUUCAAAUUGUCCAGUUUCUAAUGCGUUAAUUCGAAAAUAGGUUGAUAUAUCCAUGGGUGAAACGGUAUCUUUUGGGAUGUAACAAAAAGACCCAUCACUAAAAACAGCUGAAUUUAGAGCUGAGUAAAAGUUAUCAGAAGGAGGGACAACUUUGCCUAAAUAUUUCCUAACUAAAUCUGGGUACUCUCUAAUGGCCUCUGAAAUUGAGCAAAAGAUGACCCCUGCUGCCUCUAAGGUCUUUCUAUGAGUGGUAGCGAUGGAUACACUGUCAAAAACUGCAUCAACUGCAACAUUUGCCAAUCGUUUUUGCUCAGUUAAAGGAAUCCCUAAUUUUUGAAAGGUUUCUAAAAGCUGGGGAUCAACCUCAUCUAAACUCUUCUUCUUUGCCUGCUGUUUUGGCUCUGAAUAGUAGCACAUAUCUUGGAAAUUUAUUGGAGGGUACUGGUUAUCUGACCAUUUGGGUUCAGUCAUCUUUAACCAUUGAUUAAAGGCAUUUAGUCUGAAUGCAAGCAUCCAAUCCGGCUCGUUCUUUCGGGCUGAGAUUAACCUUAUUGUCUCUUCAGAGAGGCCCUUUGGGAUCGAAAAAGAUUCGAUAUCAGAUCUAAAGCCCCAUUUGUAUUCCCUUUGUAAUAACUUCUGAAUUGCAUCUUUAGAACUAGGGUUACCUUUGGACGCAUCCCUCUCUAGAACAGUGGUUUCAGAGACCUCUGCAGCUUCAGCUCUCAGCUUGAGAAGGCGAGGGGCUUUCCACCGUCUGGUAGGGAACAACUUGCAGAGAUACGUCGUCCUUGAGAGAGAAUUGCUGGGAUGAAGCCAUAGACUGGUUCUUUCUGAGUGGUUUUGGAGAGAGAAAUUAGCUGAAUUGCCUGUCACAACAGAAGCCAUGGGUUUCAACCAUAAGCGAACUGCUUACAGAGAGAAAAAGAGAGAACGGAGCAAUUGCAGAGCUGUACCGCUCUUAUAUGGUAGAGAGAGAGAGAGAGAGAGAGAGAGAGAGAGUAGUAUGCNNNNNNNNNNNNNNNNNNNNNNNNNNNNNNNNNNNNNNNNNNNACGUACGUACGUACGUACGUACGUACGUACGUACGUACGUAGUAGUAGUAGUAGAGAGAGAGAGAGAGAGAGAGAGAGAGAGAGAGUAAUUGCAGAGGGUGCACCGCUCUGAUAUGGUGGAGAGAGAGAGUUGAGAUCCCUUCGCUGUUUAGAUGUGGAUUGAAGAGAGAAAUGGAGAAGGUUUCGUGCAUGAGAUGGGAAGCCGAGAGAAAGUUAAAAAAAAAAAAAUUGUUGUGGAUAUUCGGCCUUUCAUUUAAGCCGCUGAGAAAAUAAAUGAAAAUAUAUUUGGUGGGAAUUUGGUUCUCGAGAUUCCGGCAUUUGGAUUUUCCUCAACUUACUGGUAAUACUGUAGCCUACAGUAAUACUAAUACAUGUACGGACCCGGUUUCUAUAAGGCGAAGCCUUUAUAUGUAGAAAAUAAAUCUAUUUUGUAGAUAGAUUUUAAGACUUAAUUUGAUAUGUAAUAUCUAAUCAUAAAUAUGAAAAAAAUAAAUAAAUUUUUAAAACUAAAAAUCAUAAUUCUCGUAAGAAAAUAUUUGGACCAUUAGGCUCCAUUAUUUUUAGAUCGAACACCUGCUUGCAUACAUCUUUAAGAUAGGUACUUUACACUUUUUGGACCGCAUAUGUAGAAAUGUUGUCUAGCUUGCAUGAAACAAUUUGCCUACAUGUAAUGGCGAAUAAGUCGGUUAACAGUUAAAACUGAAAAUUUACAACUUGAAAAAGCCGGGAACUGUAUAUGUGGUGGUGCAUGAACCUGUUCACCAUCCCCUAAGGAUGAAUUUUAUGAGAAAUUUAUAUGAUGAGAUUAUUUAUUUUUAUCUAAGAAGGCAACCAUUGUCAACCGGUGGAUGUAAAAUUUGAUGGAUAGUAACGUGUCACUAAUUGAGCUCAAAGUCCAAAAACAAUUCUAUGAAAAGGGACCAAAGGAUUGAGAAAUCGAGAAUGGUCUUGGGUUGGGAAGGUAAAAAGUUCAAAACAAAUAAAGUAGGUCCGACAAGCCUUCAUCAAUUAUCUACGAAAAGAUGUUGGAUACUAACCUAAGAGCAAGGGUGAUCCGAAGGCAACUUAAAUUAAGGACUCCCUACCACCUAGGGAGCAGGCAAGAUUGUCACAUUACCAAAUGAAUGUGAAGGAGCCUUUACUUGAUCCUAGGGCAACAUGCCACAUGCAUAUACUACUAGCAAAAGGAAAAAGUUUAUAUAGAGCCAAGGCUCUAAACAAUCAAAUUUGAGCUUACCUAAAAAAUUUUACUAGAAGAGGUUGUUUUGAUGCCCAAAUAUCUUCAAAUUGAUCAUCUUGACAUCACGAUGUAUGGACAUGAGAAAAAAAUAAAUUCCAAGUUUUAGAAAUAGUGUAUUUUGUAACGCAUUUUUGGACUGUCAAUUUUCAAGAUUUUCAAGUUUUCAUAGAUCUUUCGAUCUACACUAUUUUUGAAGCUUUAAACUUUAUAAAUAAACAUAAAAAUAUAUUUUAAGGGUAUAACAAAUAUUUUCAGUAUUGAAACUACAUUUCUCAACACCAUUUGAAGGUAGGCUCUAAUUUGAUUGUUUAGAGCCUAGGUUCUAUACAAACCGCACCCUUAGCAAAAAAAAGUAAAAAAAUCGUUAGGCUCAACAUCCUAAAUGAACUCUGUGUAGCAGGGAAAACAAGAGAAAUAAAAAAUUAAAAAUUUCACCCAAUAAAUAUCCGAAAGGGACACUAGGCCAAAAAGAAAGAAAGAGAGAUAAAAAGAUAAUAAAAGAAAAAAAAAUAAAAUAAAAUAGGUGUCUCUCUCUGCACUUCUUGCUCUUUACAAUCUCUCUUUCAUCUAAGAUAUACUCUCACUCUCUUCUCCAAAUCGGCCUAGUGCAAAGCUAUCAAGAGGCAUUUAGCCCAAGGGGUCAUGAGACGGAUUUUCUGUAUGCAAAUACGAAAGACCUCAACCAUGUAGACUUCAAAGUUAAUAGCGGAUGAACAAAAUUGGAAGUCUAAAAAGAUCAUCCCAAAUACUAAGGCACUUUCUAAUAUUUUUCAAUGUAUGGUUUAUUUGAAACCCCGAGGAACAUUUCUUUUGGAUUUCAACAUGAUGAAUGGGAUCUUAAAAUAAGAAAUUACUUAAUGAUUCCCCGUCCCAAGAUCCCAGCUCUUGCUUGCUCAACUCAUGAAAAUCAAUUAAUAAAAUCAAAAGGGCAAGAUAAGGAGCAAAUUGUUUUUCCUAAAUUUAACUUUAGAAUUAGGCCUUGGAUAGAUAAAAAAGGUUCCCAAAUAUAUAAAAAGAAAAGUAAAAUAAAAAUAAUUUUUUUAAAAAAAUAUCCACCAAAUUUAGCAUAAGUGGUUUUACAAAACAUUACCAAACCCUUCUAAAAAAUACAUCAAAACACUCAUUUUUCACAAAUUUUAAAAAAUAAAGUUUUCAUAAUUUUCAAUGUCAAUUUUAAGUUCCAAACCAUUUCGGAAUCCUCCGAAUGCUUGAACAAAAGUCAAUCAAAAAUGAAUCGUGGAGAGAGAGGUAUAGGAAAACCAAAGAAAAAUAUUUCCUAGAUCAUCCCAGAUAAAUCCCCCCCUUAGCUUAUAACUAUAGAAAGCUAUAAAAACCAUGGGUAUAAUGGAAAGUUAAUUAGCCUUUUUUUUUUUUCCAUACCAUCUAAAACUAUUUUUUAAACUUUUUAAUUCAAGUAAAAGACGUGGGCUAAAGUGAAUCGGCAAUGGCUAACCAUCACCUCUAAACAUGGGCAAUUUAAGGGUCAGGUGAAUCAGCAAUGGUUUACCAUCACCUCAAAGUGUUGGCAGUUAAAAGCCUCAAUAACUAAACUCCUAAUUUAGGGGAUUUUUUCUUGUCUAUAGGCCACUUCUGGAUUAUUCCAUUGACCUUUUGGCACACGAAACCCUAAUCCCAGACCCUAUGUCACAGUCCAGUAAAACAUUAGAAAAACUAAACUCAUCCAAAGCUAGAAGAAAACAUCCUUCUAGCCUUAGAGCCCUAUCCUAAUAUUCCUAGGCAUCACUCUUCUUAAAGUCCAAGAAGACUUCCAGAUCAACAAUUCACCCUUCCUGUCUAAUCCAAACCCCAACUCUGGGUGUCGGGCCCAAGGGCCUUGCUUCCUAUGUAUUGUUCUUUCCCAUUGUUUAUCUUCUACAUUUUUUUUUUUUAUCAUUUGCUUCGGGGUAAUAAUAAUUUUGUGUGUGAAUGCUUAGGCUUUGAGCACAUCACCCCAAUUAAUUUUGGUUUUUUUUUUUUUUUUAUUAUUCAUUAUUUGCCCAAAUACCCUUCAAAACAACAUAAUCAUAGCUAGAAGUUAACGUUUGGAUCUUCGAUGCGUCAUGAAGAACAUUGUGUAUCAUUUAGGUGCUGCAAAUACAAAACAAUUGAGGAAUUUUCUUUGUAAUAAAAAAAAAGGGAAUUGGUUGAAGAACAUUGUGUAUCAUUUAGGUGCUGCAAAUACAAAACAAUUGAGGAAUUUUCUUUGUAAUAAAAAAAAAGGGAAUUGGUUUUUGGAGGUGGGCAUUCCUCUUAUUUUGAAAGAUAAUUCUUUGGGAAAUACAUCAUGCAUCUUGAUUUGAAAGGAGAAAAUGCACACAUAAAGUUUAUCUUUUAUUAGUUUCACCAUUCAACGCUCCUAUUAAAAAAUGCAAGUUAUAUUGUUUGGGCUUUUUAGGUGGGAUAAAUUUAAGGCUUUGAAUCCUUGAUCUCCCUCACCCAAAGUACUUUGCCUUUCACUACAUAAGUCUAGUUUAGCCGGUUUAACGUUUUUGAGACAAACUUCAAUGGUGAAUGAUACCAUUAUAUCUAACAAUUAGUGGAUGACAUUUUCCAUUUGUUCUUAAUAAAAUUUUGUACUCUUGUCAAAAAAAAAAAAAAAAAAAGAAGCUUAAGCGGACUUAUUCAAUGCUCAUAUUCUUCGUUAAAUUAAGUAGCGGAAGGGCGUCAUUGAAAAAUGAAUUUAACUCGCGCCUUUAUUCUAAUGUGGAAUGAAGGCAAAAUAAACUUUAUAAAUGAUUCUGUCAAUGGAUUUAUUGUUAUUAUUAUUGGGCAGUUCAACUAUAGGAAUCGAACUUGAGAUGCAAUACUAUUGAUCGUCAGUUGCUAACCGUUCGAGCCCAAACUCGAUUUCUAAAAGGAUUAACCAACUUCAUUUGAUUUUAUUGGGACAAACUUCAAGGAUUUGAAUCCCUGACCCAAACUUAUAUGUCUACCUCUAAGCCAAAGCAUUAAGGAUGGCAAAUAAAUGUUAUGAAUAACAAAUUAAAUAUCGUAUGUAAAGGCAUCAUAAAAUGAAAUUUGACAUCCAAAACAUCCUCAAUAUGAAAAGUAUAUAAUAUUUUUUGGACAAUGAGAUGGUUUUGACUUGCAAAAAUACUCUCAAUUGCCAAUCUUAACACGUUUAGUGGAAGUAUGGAUAUCUUAACUAUAAUAAUUAAUAGCCAUUAUCUGGAAAUAGCUAUCGCGUGUUUUUUCUCAUACAAAACCUCACAAUAAAGGGAGUAAGAAGCAUUAGCUAAUAUAAGUUAGGGUGCGGAUUGUAUAGGGCCGAGGCUCCAAACAAUCAAAGCAAAGGGCACCUUCAAAUAGUAUCGAGAAAUGUAGUUUUCAUACUGAAAUCUUUGUGAUAGCUUUAAAAUUUAUUUUUAUCUCUAAUUAUAAAAUUUAAAGCUUAAAAAAUAGUGUAGAUUGAGCGAAUCUAUGAAAACUUGAAAUUGAUGGUCCAAAAAUAUAUUACAAAAUACAUUAUUUUCAAAACUUGAAAUCCAUUUUUUUUCUCAUGCCCAUGCAUUAUGAGGUCGAGAUGGUCAAUUUGAGGAUUUUUUUCUAGUGAAAUUUUUGAGGUGCACCUUAAUUUGAUUUUUUAGAGCCUCGCACUUAAAUAAACUUUUUCCAUUAAGUAAGGAAUAAGGUUAAGACACAUGAUAUUGAAAUAAAUGAGGACGUUAUAGUGAUAGAGAAGAUAUGGUAAGGUUUCUUAAAGUUAGUGUAUGAUAUGGGAUAUAUUAAUAAUAACCUUCUAGUGCAUCUGGUCGAGUCUGGACACACCCAUCUUCAGGUCCCAAAGCUUUAGCUUCAUUGAUCUCGCAAAGAUGAAGCAUAUCGGAGUAAGACCAUAUCGUACAGCCAAAAUGGUCUCGAAGGAGGCCACCAUAACCAGAUCACCGCCCCCUAAUACUACCAUCAAAGUUAAGUUUGAACCAGCCCCCAGGAGUCUUCGUCCAAACCCAACAAAACAUAAAGUGACUCUUCUUUAGAAAUAAAAAUGUUUGAAAUGUGAAAAGAAUAGUAGGCUAGGUACCGCAGUCAGCAUGAAAUAUGCAUAGGCCCAAGUCACAUGGUUCUCUGAAUAAUAGUAGGCAGAGUGGGGAAGUCUCUAGCUCGACCUUCAAAGGUUCUUAGAUUUCUCUCUUUCCAAAGAUUAUAGAGAGAGAUCGCAAUAGUAAUUCUCUAGAGAUUGAUACUCAAGGACGCAAAAGGAUGGCUCCACAUCUGUUGUAAUAAAAUAUGGAUAUCAUGUGGCCAAGGUCCAUGCCAGUUGGACAGACCAGCAAGCCAAUCCCCAAGUCUGCCGCAAAUGUGCACUUGAGGAAGAUACGAUCCACCGUCUCUUCAUCCUCUUUGCAGAAAAGGCAAACAUUAGUGUUAAUCAUGCCCCUCCUCUGGAGCUGGUCCAUUGUAAAUAGUCUCCUAUAAGCGAGAAGUCAAAGGAAAGACUUAACUCGAAGAGGCACUUUAUAAUUCUAUAAUUUGGGCAAAUGAUAUUUGUCCUCAAUGUACUUGUCCCUUCUCACCACAUCAUAUAACGAGCAAGUAGAGAAUAAACCAUUCAGUUCUAAACUCCAAAUGAGUCUUUCUGGUUUCCUCGGAUAGAAGCAACUACUAUACAAAGUCGUGAGCAAAGUAGCCUAUUGCUUAGCUACCGAGAAAUCUACCCUUCUCAUGGAAAGGAUGACAUUCAACAUUAGCUGACUAUCCACAAAGGAGAUCAUGUUGGUUACAAUCUCUUGUUUUCUGGUCGAUCUUCUAUAUACAUCUGGAUAAACUAGUUUCAAAAGGUACUCCUCAAGCCAUUUAGUAUGCCAAAACAUGGUCAUGCAUUCAUCACUGAUGAGCGCCCUAUUGUAGGUGAGAAAGAGAGGCCUCAUACCUUGGAUACCUUGCCAAACAACAGACAUGUUAAUAGAUCUCAGGCGUCGUCUCACGAAAGGAUUGUCAAGAUCUUGGCCAUAUUUACCAAGAACAACCUUAGUCCAGAGCUGAUCUCCAUGCAUAGAGAGUCUCCACCACCACUUUGUAAGUAAAGACUCAUUGAUUGCCCUGAGUGCGUAUACCUAGUGCCUCUUCACUCUUUUAUAGGCAUAUUGAAUCCCAUUUUACCAAUUGAAACUUCUUCUUAUUUUGGGAUCCACUCCAUAGGAAGUUAUCUAUUAAUGCUUCAAUUUUUGCAAUUACUGCAGCUGGUGCCUGAAAAAGAGAGAGAUAAUAUAUAAGAAGGUCAGACAAAUGACAUCAAUUAGAAAAGUUCUACCUCCAAAAAACAACAACCUUGCCUUCCAGCCAUCUAGUUUCAUUCGAGCCCUCUGAAUGAGAGGAUCCCAAAGUGACCUUGGAGUUCUACCAUUAAGAAAUGGCGGACCUAAGUACUUGGUGGGAAAGCAUUCAACCCCAUAAUCAAGCCAGCUGGCCCAGUUUGCAACCUCAGAGGAAGAACAACUAAUCUCAAUAAUGUUUGAUUUAUCCAUGUUGAUAUGAGCCCCUAAAAUGAACUCAUAAAGCUUAAGAAACAACCAAAUAUUCUGCACAUUUGUAUAUGUCCCUUCUAUAAGAAUCGGUGUGUCAUCUACAUACUGCAAAUGACUAAUCAUAAUGUCAUUGGGCCAAGCUCGAAGGCCCUUAAUCAUCUUCAUGUCUACCAACCCUUGUAGCAUUUUGCUAAAAGCCUCAACAACUAAGGUAAACAGCAAAGGAGAUAAGGGGUCACCUUGUUUAAGACCUCUGGUGGCUCUGAAGUAGCCAUUCGCUUUCCCAUUAAUCAACACAUAGAAAUGUGCAAAGGAAAGACAAUCCAUAAUCCACUUCCUCCAUCUCACACUAAAACACAUAAGAUCCAUAAUCUUAUUGAAGUAAUCCCACUCCACCUUAUCAUAGGCCUUUUCAAAAUCUAACUUAAGCAAUAGACCUUUAUAGCACAGCAAAUCAGCGGUAUGGAUAGUUUCUUACGCCAACAAAAUACCAUCCAUAAUAAACUGGUCUUUAAUGAAGGUUGUUUGAGGGCCUUCAAUCACCUCAUUAAUUACCAAGCGUAGGUGAUUAGCAAUCACCUUGGUCAAUGUUUGGUAUAGGCCUGAAAGCAAGCUAAUGAGCCAAAUAUCUCGGAGUGAAUUAAUGGAACUCUUUUUGGGAAUCAGAGAAAUAAAAGUAAAGUUAAUAACAUUGCACACAAUCCCGUCAAAAUAAAACUGAUUAGCCCAGCACAUAAUAUCGAACUUAAUCAAAUCCCAGAAUUCUUGGAAAAAAGCCAGAGGGAAGCCAUUCGGGUCAAGGGCCUUAUCACUAAGCAUACCAAAGACAACUUUUCUGACUUCUUCAAUAGUGAACUCACUUUCGCAGCUCAACACCAAUUCCUAAGACAGAGCCUUUAAAGGAACAUUCCGAAAGUCAAAUUGUAGUCUCUAUUUAGAGGAAAAGGCGUGUUUGAAGUGAUUCACAAUGACUUCAUUAACAGCUGUAGGAUUUUCUAUGUCAGAAUCCUAAAUAAGUAAAGCUAGUCAGACAGUUAGAUCUAAGCCUCGAAUUGGCAGUGGCAUGAAAAUAACUAAUGUGCCUAUUCAUCUCCUACAAAGUCAGAGAGAUUUUGGACCUAAAUAUUGGAGGUCGAUAAUCGCAACCACCAUGAUUAUGAAUCUAAAUAAAAAGUAUUGUUGCACAUCAUUUUUGACGUACUUGUAUCCUCGGGGCGAAUAAGGAGAAAGUUGGUAGUAACCUGGUUCUACCGGUGUGCCCAAGAUAUCGCUAGACCAAGGGAAUAUUGUAGCAAUAAGCCUAAAAUUAGGCGACCUUUGAAAAAGUGACAGAAUGGCCUCAAAUUGCAUGAAUGAGUAGUUUUGGAUAUCCUACGGACACUCGUAAAUUUUUGUCGCGUUCUGACAAGUUUUGAUAUGAUCAGGAUGAAAUUUGAUUUUCAAAUUAAGUUCUUGUCAUGCUGAAAAUAGACCAUAUAACCAUAUCCCUAUUGUCUGGGGUCUCAAAAUAGUACCAACCUCCAUUGGAUCUACAACAUUGAAAAACCACUAGGUACCAAAUUUUAGGACAAUCGGAUCUUCCGGGACCAACCAUAACAUGGUGAGUUUUAUACUAUUGCGAUGCAGCCGCGGUGAAUCAGAUUCCAUUUAUGGAAACUUUGUUUCUUAUUUCGACAUAAUUUUCAAAUGCUCAUAAAUCUCUCAUUUUAAGUCCAAUUACGCUCAAAUUCAGGCACGAGCUAGAUCUCGACGACCUGCUCAUUUUGACGUAUGUCACACGUUAUGGCAUCACCCAAAAAUAGAGAAUUUCUAGAGAUAAUAUGGGCUUGAAACAUGAAAAUUCAAAUUUUAUAAAUAAGAACAUCCAAUUCUUUGAGAGGCCAAAGCUCAAGAUCCCGCCGUCGGAUCAUCGCAAGUAUGGAUUCUUUGCGACUGUGCUUCGAAGAGCUACAUUUUGAUAUAAUUUUUAUAUAGGGUCGGAAGCUGGAUGACACGAAUUUUGAGGUUGAAAAUGAUAUUUUUUCGGUCCCCAGAGUCCCAUUUUCGGCAACUUCCUAAAAUUGGAACGUGCCCAAAUGGAUACCAAAAUAGAUGAAAUUUAUCACAAAGUGAUCGUGAUAGUAUCCCCUUCGAUUUGUGAUCAAAAUGAAGGUUUGGAACGUCAUUAGAUCGUGCCAGAUUGCUAGUCAAAGAAUCACAAAUUUAUGGAACUUGGCCAGAGUUUGGGUUCCUCCUUCAAAAUUCGUUUCAAGACAAUGAAUUCGUUUCAAGACAAUGAAAGGGUAUCAAAACGUGCGCAAUAGUUAAAGCAUCGAUUCCACGAAGGUUGAUCACCCAAAUCAGCACCAUAAACAUUCGAAAAAGCUCCUGAGACCCAGCAAUGGCAAGAGGUCACCAUGGUGUGAUGGUUUUGUCAUUUGUUGAAAAGUGUCUAGGGGCAUUUUGGUCAUUUGGUCAAAAAAAGGGAUUAAUAUUUUAAUUAAUAAAAUGUGCAUUUUUUUUAUAAGUUUAGUGGUUUUUUAGCAUUCCACCAUUGUUUUGUGGCUGCUCUAUAUAAGGAACCCAAGUCAUUUGUAAUUCUCUCUCUUAGAUUCUUAGUCAUUUGGUAAUAAAACUCUUGAACACUUGAGCAUUUGGGGCUUGUUCUUUUACUAUGCUUUUAAGUUCAAAACUCAAUAUAAGAGGUGGGAGACACAUUUCCUAGAGAGAGAAAAUACCCUUAAGAACCCUACACUCCUUAUAACUCCAAAGUUCUAGCUCCCUUAGGAUUCUCAAUUCUCAAUCCCAUACUCUCUAGAACUCCUAGCUUCCAUACACCUUAGGACCCCUAGCUUCCAACCCUAAUCCAUACACCUAAGCCUUGGACCCUAUCCUUAACCCAUUAAAACUAAGACUUUUCUCUCUCAUGUGUAUGCAAAGGGACCAAUGAAGGUGCACUUAGUUUCAAGCUCAUUCUAUAUCCACUCUCUCUCCUCUCUCUCCUUUCUCUCUCUCUAUCUUUCUCAUUCUCUCUCCUAUCUCUCUCUCUCUCUCUCUCACUCUCUCUCCUCUUACUUUCUCUUUUCUUAUUUCGCUCUCCUCCCUCUCUCCUUGCCUCUCUCUUUUCUCUUUCCCUUCCUUUAAUCGGACCCAGGGCGGGUCCGAGCCUUCUCCUCUCUCUCUCUCUCAUCCACAAACUUCCCUACCCGCACCUAGGGUGGGCUCGACACUCUCUCCCCUCCCUAUUUUCUUUUCUCUCCCUUACCCUCUCUCCCUCUUCUUUCCACUCUCUCCAUUCAUCGCUCUCUCCUUCUCUCUUCUCCAUCCGCCCUUCUCUCUUUUUUAUCCGUGUCUUAUCUCUCCACUCUCUCCAUCCGCCUCUUCUCUUUUCUUUAUCCACCCAUCAUCUUUUCAGUCUCUCCAUCCGCCCCUCUCUCCUUCUAUCUCUCCAUCUGCCCUCCUUCUCUAUUCUCCAUCUGCCCCUCUCUAUUUCUCUCUUCUCAAUCCCCCCCUUCUCUCCACUCUCCAUCCGCCCCUCAUCUCCCUCUACUACAUCCGCCCUAAUCUCCCUCUGCUCCAUAUGCCCCUCUCUCCUUCUCUCUUAUCCAUUCGUCCAUUUUCUCCUCUCUCUCUAUCCACCCUUCAUCUCCCUCUACUCCAUCCGCCCCUCUCUCUUCUCUCUAUCUACCUGCUCCUCUCAUCUCAUCACACCUAUCUGCCCCUCUCUCCUUUAACAUCCUAUCCGCCCCUCUCUCAUCUCACAUUUUAUCCACCCCUCUCAUCUCUCUUCCCCUAUCCACCCUACUUUCAUCUAACACCCUAUCCACCCUACUUUCAUCUAACGCCCUAUCCACCCUACUUCCAUCUCAUUCCUCCAUCGGCCCUAUUACUUUCUCAUCUCCCUUUAGAGUUUGGACCCGCACCAAAGGUGGGUCCAUCAUUCUUUGACCUCAUUUAUCCCAUUUUCUUUCACCUUAAAUACUCUCUUCUAUCUCUAAACUAUAUUUCAACUUUUCAUUUGUUUCACUUCGUUUUUACUUCAUCAUUCUUUUGUUUUUGUUUCUCUCUUUACUCAUCACUUUUUUCACCUCUUGAGCACUUGAUUCAAGGUCGUCUUGAGAUAGUAACCUAGGGUUCUAACUCUCAGAUUGCUACUCUAACCAUCAACUCGUAUAAUGCAGUCGGGUCAUAAGAGAUACUGAUUUUCUUACACUCGGUCAAUCGGGUUGAGGUCAUCCCGAGUUAGCUUUCUUUAGAGAUGUAACCAUUUCACUACUCUAACCACCAAGUCACAGAGUGUUUGGGUUGUGAGAGACUUUCAUCUCUCUCUUUCUCUUUUAUUUUUUUCUAACCCUUGAUCACUUUUGGGGGUCUCUUUGGUUUAAUGAUAUAAUUAUAGGCUCGGUCUUAUAACUCCACUUUCCAAACCCUCCGAGUACCAAGGCUUCGAGCUUGGUGCUUCUCUUUGUCUUCGGUAAUACCUCUUAGGAGAGGUUAUGUCAGGAGGCUGCCCAAUUUUCCUUGGAUCAUCCCUUCAUUUCUUUUUACUUUGUCUUCUUCAUCUUCUUCUCACUUCUAAACUAAGUUAUCGUCAAUUUCUUAUUCUCUUUCUCUUCUUUCUCCUUCCACUUGCUUUUUUCUCUUGUCUCUCUACCCCUAAAACUAGAACCACUAACACAUAAAAGCACAUUAAAUAGGAGUACAUUGUAUUUGGAUUUCAUUAGCAACUUUCAGUAAGAGUUGAGGUGAGCUGUUGAGUUUAGAAAGAUGGUCGAAUUCAAACCGCGUUGUUGGACAGCCGAAGGGUUUUCGUUCAUUGAUCUAAGAAGGCAAUAGCCUGGGCUUAUCCCACAAACUCAAACCGUGAUGAUGUAGGUGCUCAAGUCCAUUCUUUCAUCGCUUUAAAAUCCUCUCAUAGUUGGACAUACCUAUCCGCACAUGACACAUGAUUCACACAUGCGCUUGUGAGGUCAGGAGAUUGUUCGAGAGGGGGUCAAUCGAAUCUUGGUCCCCGAUGGAGCCCGAGCAAGGUAGAUCCUGGCCCGACCAAGUAUGUUUGAAACCUUAAAAAUAGACUAUUUUACAACUCUAUUCUUGAUCAUUCACAAUUAGUUAUUUAAAGGGUGUGGUUUGUAUAAGGAUGCAACCUUAAACAAUCCAAUUAAGAUGUACCUCCAAAGUUUAUCAUAAUAUAUAAUUUUGGUAUAUUUUUCUUUAGUAUUAUUUGAAAUCUAUUUUUACAUCUAAUUAUAAAAUUUUAAACUCCUAAAAUGGUUAAAAUCAAGUAGAUUUAUAAAUAUACGAAAAUCUUGAAAAUGGACGGUCUAGAUAAUGUGUUGCAAGAUGCACUAUUUAUGGGACUCAAAAUCUUUUUUUUUUUUCAUAUUUAUACAUCUCGAUGUUGAGAUGAUCAAUUAGAGGAUUUUUCAGCAUUAAAACAACUUUUUCUGAUGAAUUUUUGAGGUGCAUCUUUAAUUAUACAUUUCAAAGUUGCAACCUUAUAUAAACUUUUUCUUUAUUUAAACUAAUCCUAACUAGAUUUUGGGCUGAACUAAAGCAGAAAUACAUCUAGAGUGACCUAGGAUGUAUACAGGAUCCUAAAUCCAUCUCUAAGAUGGGUAUUUGGAAAGAGAAAUACAACUUUGUAUAAACAUUGUCUUCUUUAAGUUUUAGUGAUUGUAAGCAGAUCUAAUGAGAAAUCAAAAGUUUAUUUGGAGGUAUGGAGCACAUUUUGUAGUUCAAUUUAUUUUAAUCUUCAUUCUAGUUUUUCGUUCUAACACCCAAAGUGUGUCACUAUGUUUGCUCCCCAAUGGUACUUUGGGGGCAUUGUCACGAGGAUCCUUUUAUUUUUGGAAAUUUAAAAAUGGUCUUAAUAUUUUCAAUUUUACAUUGAAUUCCCAGUUUCACUAUUUUUUAAAAUUUUCAAAUUCAGCUCUAGUUUGACCCUCUUGGAAUUUUCAAAAGAAGCUCUUAGGCCCAGCUUAAGUUUGGAAAAGGGUAGACCUUGCUUAAUUUUGACCCUUUUGCUUUAUAUGUAUAUAAAUCUUGGAUAGCUCAGUGGCAGGAACCGAACUUGAGAUGUAGUGUUGUUUGACGCCAACUGUUAACCACUCAAGCCCAAUGCCCCUUCCUCCCUUUGCUUGAGUUCAAUCCUUCAGGGUUGAACUUAUAGAGAUUGUGCUAUUGUCAUUUAUCUAGUGGCAAGACAUGGCAUUUCCCCAAAGGAGAUCGAAGUUUGUUGAGGAAACGAAAGAAGCCCACCCACCCUUGUUUCGUUCGAUUUAAUGCAUAGGCUUUUUUAUUUGGUCUAGUGAUAGUAGGGGCUAGGGGUGGCAAUGGACCUGACUAGACCCAGGGACCCGAUAGGUAUACUCGACCUCGGGUCAGGAUAUGAGUCCCAAUUUUGGACUCAAAUAUUGUUCGGGUUUGAGUUCAGGUUAGCUAGACUCAACCUGUACCUGUAGUAAUAAAUAUAUGAUGGCAAUCAUGUGUCUUCUAGCACGCCUUAGGUGUUCAUAUUGUCACAGUAUUCGCAACAUUUACAGUAUUAUUGGCAAAAAAAAGAAGAAGCUCAUAGUCAUAGGGUAUACGUUGGUAAAAAAAAAGACAAAAAAAAAGGAAGCUCAUAAUCGCAGGGUGGCAAUGGAUCUGUAUAGACUCGAGACCCAAUGAUUCUGUAUACGUGUCCAAAAUUUGGACCCAAAUACUAUUCGGGUCCAGGUCCAGGUCCAGGUUCAGGUCCAACCGGACUUGACCUGUACCUGACCCGUUGCCACCCCUAAUAGGGACAUCGGUUUGCAAAUGGGGCAUCACUUACAAUUUACAAACCCUUUGAAAAUUUGGAUUUUGUUCUCAUGACAAGACCGCGCCAACCUUUUUUUCCACUUCAUGCAUUUGCCCAAAAAUAAUGAAUUUGGGGCUAGCUCAAGGAUCGAACUUGAAAAACGUUUGACCCUUUAAGAGUCGAACUUAAGUGAGUUUGUUCCUUGGUUGAACUCAAGCUAGCCAUAAGGAGUGUUCAACUCUUGAAGGGUCAAACUGGGUUUUGAAUUUUCCAGAAGAAGCAAGUUGGACCCUUGAAAGGUUUAUCUCAACAACAAAUAUAAAAUGGUUUAAGGUUGAACUAGGGAUAAUUUUGGCAAUGUUUGUAUAAGGUUGCAACAUUAAAUAAACAAAAUAAGGCGUAUCUCCAAAGUUUAUCAUAAACAUGUAAUUUUUAGUGUAAAACAUUCUUAGGAUGGCUUAAUAAUCUAUUUUCAUAUGUAAUAAAAAAUUUAAAAUCUAAAAAUAGAUAUAAUCAAGCAGAUCUAUAAAUACAUGAAAAUUUUGAAAAUGGACGGUCGAGAUAAUGUGUUGCAAGAUGCAUUAUUUUUGAGACCCGAAAUAUUUUUCUUUUUCAUAUCCAUACAUCUUGAUGUCGAAAUGAUUAAUUGGAAGAUUUUUCAACAUCAAAACAACUUUUUUCAAUGGGCACCACCAUGGCUAAUCAAGCUGAAAUGUGUUCCUUUCUACAAGGUUGGGAAAUCACUGAUGAUAGGGGCAUCUCAGGAUAUAUUAUUAUUGAAGGAGACUCUUUGAAUGUUGUUAAAUGGCUCAAGCAUGAGUAGAGGAUCCCUUGAACCUUACACAUUUGCUGGGUUAAAAUACAUAAUCUUUGCGCUUCACCAAGUUUGUGAGUUUCCUUCUGCAUACCUAUCAUGAGACUAAUGAUACAACAUAUGGUCCUGGUAAGCAUGGAGUUCAUAUUCCUACUUUGCUAUUUCUAGUGCUUUGAUACCUUCUUUGUAACUUCACGCUUUUUAAGUAUUUAUCUAAUAUAAGCUAUUAACAUUCAUAAACAAAAUUUAAUAAUGCAAUCUCAUAUAAUUUUUUUUAUUAAAAAAAAAAGAUUGUAUAUAAACUUAUAGUACAAGGAGGUUACAAUUACUUAUAACUAUACAAUGUGAAAUCUAAUAGCUUCAGUGUGUCACAAAGUUCAAGAAAAUUUAUUUUGAGCUUUGAGUUUGGUUAAUAAAAGAAAGGAAAAUAUCUCCAUACCCCUUAUUAUUAGGUUUCAUUUCACAAUAAACCCAAUAUUUUAAUAGAUAUAUUGGGGCAUAAAAAUUAUAGAUUUGAUUUCUUUUAACCCCUGUACUAAUUUAAACCUGGGUUUUUAGGCCAAACAAAUUUUUAAAGAUAUGCCUUUUCUAGAAGCCAUCGUCCCAAACUUCUGGAGAGAGGGAAGGGCUUCAUGGAGGUGAGAGGUUACCGAGAGGAGAGAAAGAGGCGUUUGGAGAAACACCGGAGGAGAGAGAGAGUGAGAGAAGUAGGAAGAGAGAAAAAGAUAGAAGUUUAGAAAGAGCACGUAUUGCUCACAUUUGUUUAGGUUAAAAAAUAGGUUUAAAGUGGUAAGGGGGUUAGAAGUUAUCUUUUGAAACAUUGGGUUUAUUAAGAAAUAAAACUUAAAAAUAUGGGAUAUAGAGAUAUUUUCCCAUAAAAGAAAUGUAGCGGCCCAAUUUCACAUGAAAUGGUGAUUAAUUGUAUCCACCUUAUACUAACGUAUAUGGUCUCAUUAUAUACAUUUUCUUAAAAAAAAAAAACUAACAAAGAGAGACUUCAUUCAUAGUAAAAUUAAAAAGAUUUGAUGUAUUUUUAAAUGCCAAGAAAAAGGGGAUCCAUAAGCAAGUGGUUUUCUUUUCACCGCUAUGUUUCUAGAAGUUUAAAACCAAAACAUUUGGCGGGAAUCCACUUUUCAAGUCGGAAAUUCCAAUUAGCCUCAUCACUUCCCUGCCACCGCCAAACAAUUCCUCUCUCUCUCUCCCCCAUAGUUAGCAAAUCGAUGACUAUCAAUAAUUGGCUCACCAUAAAAUCGGAAACAAAUAGUUUUUAUUUUAAAAAAUCAGAUAAAAAAUAUAGAUCGGCAAAAAUACUUCAUAUAAAAAUAUAGCUAAUAUAUCGGAUUAGGCUAAAAAAGUAGGAUAAAUUUAUAAUAUUAAAAAUUUUAAAAAAUAAAAAUUAUGUCAAAGCCAUCAAUUACUAAUUCAUCUAUAAAAACUUUACUCGACUAAUAUAAUUAAGUCAAUUAAUUUAGAUACAUUGUGACUCUCAUUCAAUCAUCCAAUAUUAAAUACAUAAUUAACUAGUAUAUACCAAAAAAAAUGUACCAUAUAAAUUUAGGGAAAGCUUUAUAUGUUCCCCUUACAACAUAGAAGUUCUAUCCUCCCCCUUGUCCAACCGUCCAUUUUUGAAUGGAGGGUUUAGAUUGCUCCAAUCACAAUGUCAUGUCUUUACACUGUUUUAUUUUUAAAUUUUUUUUAUAAACUAUUUUGACACUAAAUUAUGGACGUCCAUUCCUCUAUUAAACUGGUACUAACGAAAAAUAUUUUCAAUAAAAUGUAAUGACCAAAAUACCCUUGAAAAUUUUAAGGGGUAUUUUGGUCAUUACUUUUUAUUACAAAAAUUAUUGUUAAUACUUUUUAUCGGUGCGCCUCAAUGAGAAGAUGGUACCUAUCAAAUUUCAUAUUCAAAAAAUUUGUAUUAAAAAGAUUAAAAAUAAAAUAAUUUGGGACGUCGGAUUUAAGAUCAAACGGUGAAUAACUCUCUUGAUAAAAAAUAGACGGCUGGAUGAUAGGGGGAGGAUAAAACUUCCAUGUUGUAAAAAGAACAUAAAAAGCUUUCCCAUAAAUUUACCCGUUAAAUACUUUAAAAAACAUCACACGUACCUAUUAUAUAAAAAACAAAUAUACUAUAUAAAUUUAUUCAUUAAAAUACUUUUAAGUUUAAACUAUGGUAUAGUCACACGUUUACUAUGUAAAUUUAUCCAUUAAAUAUUUAAACAUCACACCGAUUUAGCAUGUACUAAAAAAAAAAUGAUACGCUUUUUGUUUUCUCAUUACAAUCAUUUAAUUAUGGUAUGGUGACAAUGGUCACUCCAUAAAACUAUGGUUAAAGUUUUAUAAAUUUCUUUAAACGAAAAGAGGCUCGUGGAAAUUUGGGUUUCAGAUUUGUGUUUACGGUUUAGAGAGGAGAAGGCUCGUAGAAAUUUGGGUUCACAUCUGUGUUUACGGUUUAGAGAGAAGAAGGAAGAAAGAAAAGGAACAAGAAGAAACAGAAGAAAAUAGGGCUGGGCCAUAGCCAUUAGGGUUUAUAGAGAGAAGAAGAAGGAAGAAGAAAGAGUUCAUGGUAUUCGCAAACCCUAAUGGUAGAGGCCCUGAGUUUUAGAGAGAGAAAAGGAAGAACCCUAAUGGAGGAGGCCCUGGUUUUUAGAGAGAGAAAAGGAAGAACGCUAAUGGCAGAGGCCCUAACUGAUUUUUAGAGAGAGAAAAGGAAGAUGGGAUGCUGAUUUGGGAUUAUUUGAAGAUGGUUUUCUCUCUGAUUUGGGAUAGUUUGAAGAUGGUUUUUGCAUUUUCUUGGGGAAACAGGAUAGUUUGAGGAGGGUUUUUCAUUUUCUCGGGGAAACAACAAGCUGACCUGAAGGAUUAAGUUUGGGGAACUAAUCCUAUAUGUACAAAUGCAUGCUCCUGUAAGUAUACGGUUUACACAAUCAAAAACAAAUUAUUGAUUAUUUGGUCCUGUAGUUCUACUCAUUCAUCAGUAAAAGACUAUGUUUUGAGCUCUAAUUUGUGCCUUAAACAGUAUUUUCAUAAAAACAAUUAUCACAAAUAAUCACAGAAAUCUGCGUGCAUAUGAUUUCUUCACACAAUGAUUUACUUUACAAAAUGAUUUGCUAUAAACAGUAUUUCAUUUACACAAUAAAUUUCCAGAAUAACAACUGAAAUCUGCAUCUAUUUGUUUAAGUUGUAAAAAAAAAUUCAUACCAUCAAUCUGCAACUGUGGCUUUGAAGAACACAGUGGGGAUAAAAGUUUCUAUUUUAGGUUUUUUUUUUUGAAAUAAUAAUUUUUUUGAAAAGCAUGAAAGUAGCAAUGGCUGCAAUACACAAAACAGGAAAAAAAAAAAAUUUCCGAUUUUUUGCCUGAUUUAAAUCGUAUUAUGAAAAAAGCGCGUUUUAAACGGUUUUACUAAAAUGACGCUAUUUUUUGCCUACCUUUUAAAAAAGUCGCGGUUUAAAACUGUUUCCAUAAAACCGCCGACUUUUUGAAAAAAAUCGCCUAUUAAACGGCGAUUUGCUCUCUAUAAUCUCCCCCUAAAACCCUAAUUCCACCAUCCUCCAUUGCUAGCUCAUCUGUUGCUUUAAUCCAGUCUCUCUUUCUCUCUCUCUAGUUCUCUCUUGAAGAGCCCUAAUUCGACCAUCUUCAGUAAUCAGCUCGUCGAAUUGGUCGCAACACAAAAUGCCUCGAGAUGACACAGAACUAAGAUCGGCAAAAAAUGCAUUCAAUGAGGCCUCUAAGACUGGUAAUCACCACGAGGAAGCUCGAUGGGCCAAUGUGAUCGGUGACAUUUAUAAGAGGAGAGGUGAAUAUGUCGAGGCCUUGAAAUGGUUGCGAAAAGACUAUGAGGUCUCAGUAAAACACUUACCAGAGAAGCACCUGUUACCCACUUGCCAGUCCCUUGGUGAAGUCUACUUGAGAUUGCAAGAUUUCGAAGAAGCCCUAAUUUACCAGGCACUUAUUCACUUUGGUUUUGAUUUUUGCGAAUAUAGCCAUGUGUUUUCUUUUUACCCUUUGAAUGGUAGAUUUAUAUAUAUAGUAGAAUAAUUAGCUAGGAUUUCUAUGGAAAUUGGGUUUUGAAUUGCGUUGUUUCAUGAAUAUUUAUUCACGGGUUCUGUCUUUCUUUUGUUUUGUUUCUAUGUCUUUGUUUCGUCUGGAUUGGUGUGGUUUUUGUGCUUCUGUUGGAUCUUAGUUAGCGUACUGUUUCUUCUGAUUAAUUUGGUCUUUAAUGUAUUGGUAUGAAACGGGGAAGAUUUGUCAAAGAAAGAGUUCAUAUGGUUCUUAUUAUUGUUAUUUCUCCUCAAAUGACCUUAUUCAUCUGUAUCUCGAAAGGUUUUGAGUGCUUAUUUGAGAUCUCACUUCAAACGUUAGACGGAAAGCUCACUACAGGGAAUGUUUUCCAUUUAUGUACCUUUGUUCUAAUGCAAUUUAUGUUUUGUAAAAUAAAAUGAUUACUAAGCAAAUUGUGGGUACAUCUGAAAUAAUGGAAUAAAAUGAAACAAAUGCCAAAAUAAUAGAGUACUGGAAAAUGAAACAAAUCCUGAGACUGACUUGAACAUCACAAGGCACUAAAAUGAUUGUUAGGGUAAUUGGGUGUUGUAUUUCAUUUUAUAGUUGAAAAAUAAGUAUGUAUUCAUCAUAUCGGAGCAGAACGGUUCAGAGUACAGAAUGUUUUUUGGACUAGGACCAAGAUUUCAAAUUGAAACCUUAGAUAUUGAUGGAUCAUAUCCCAUAAAUUCUUCUUAUUUUGUCAAUCAACAUCGCUUUCUUUUUAACCUCUCCUUUGUUUUUGUUCCUUGAUGACCGAACGAUUGGAUCUCUAAUAAAAUAACUAUCUAAUUUAUCUGUCGUUUCGCCACCUAUUUUUCAUUAUCAGUAUUCUUUAGAAAUCUCUUAUGCCUUAUUCCUUUUUCUGUGGGUAAUCAGUGAAAUAUUUCGAAAUAAUUGAAUUGGUCGAGCCAAAUUCUUCCGUCCCAAAAUCUGAAUACGAAUACUAUACUAAAACUAACCUAUAAUGUUAUUUAUGUUAUCUUUUGUUAUCCUAUGUUAUUUUCUUACUUCAAGUGGUAUUUUUAUUUAUUUAUGUAUUUAUUUUUGUGUGCUUUAUAACUUUAUGAUAUUAAAUCCACUCCUAAGUCCCAACUAUUGGUUUCUUAUGUCAAAUUUUGGUAUCUUUUAUAUGCUUGAAUUACGUCUGUACCAAUUAGCAACUAUUCUACAAAGAGCCCAGCAUUUGUAAAUCUGAGAUUCCUUUUCGUUCAACAAUAUUGCAGAAAAAACACUUGGAGUAUGCCAAAGAUGCCAGGGACCUUAUCGAGCAACAACGGGCAACCACACAGCUUGGUCGAACUUACUAUGAAAUAUUUAACACGUCAGAAAGUGAUCACCGUGCUCUUCGGAACUCGAAAAAGUAUUUCAAAAUGGCCAUGGAACUUGCUCGUGAACUCAAGGGAAAUUCCAGAAAUCAUAAAUCUUCAUCAUUUCUCAAGGAGUUCAUCGAUGCUCAUAAUAACCUUGGCAUGCUUGAGAUGGAUCUUGAUAACUAUGAAGAAGCUAGGAAAAUUCUUUUGGAGGGUUUAAAAAUUUGCAAUGAUGAAGAGGUGCCUGUGAAUGAUGAUGCACGUAGUAGGCUUCAUAACAAUUUGGGAAAUGUAUAUAUGGAGCUGAGGAUUUGGAAUAAAGCCAAAGAACACAUUGAGCGUGAUAUCUUUAUUUGUAACAAGAUUAGCCAUUUACAAGGAGAGGCAAAAGGGUUUAUCAAUCUUGGUGAAUUGCAUUGGAGAUUGCUAGAAUAUGAUGAAGCAAUGAGUUGUUAUCAAAAAGCUCUCAAAAUUGCUCGUUCUAUGGAAGAUGAAGAUGCAUUGGUUGAGCAGAUUAAUCAAAAUUUAAAGACUGUGAAGGAAGCUCGAGGGGUGCUUGAAGAAUUAACGAAAGAAGAGCAGAAGCUCAAAAAAUUGGAAAGGGGCACAAUAAAAGUUAGGGGCACCCCAGAUGAGAGGGGAUAUCUAUUAAAGCAGAAUGUAUUGCUCGACCUACUGAUUGAUAAGUCCAGCAUGAUUCGUGCUUGGCCUAAAGUAAGUUAUUUUUUUUUUAUAAUUUUUGAUAGUCCCUUUGUUGUCUUAAAUCAUGCUUUCUUUUGUGUGAAACUCCUAAAGAUAAAUGGGGCUCAUUGUGGUUAUUCUUAGACUGAUGGAACAAAUGUUGGAAAAUGGAUUCUGCAACAUUUUUGGAAAUUGUCUGGGGAAAUAUUGACAAUAUGGGGUUUGGAUUGAAUGUGUCCUAAAACAUAGAUGUGGAUCACUGGUAUUCUUUGUUUUCUGAAUUAUUAAACUUUUAUUUAAUUCUGCACCAAGCACACCAAAGUCUGAGGUCAAGUGACUGCAAAUUUUUAUGACUAAAAUAUGCGAAUGUCCAAUAGAAGCGUACAUCUGUUUUUUUAAUGGAUAUUUGUUAAUAUUGCUUGAAUAACCUGGCAUCCUUACCAGAUCAUUCGUAUUGGAAUAAGUCUUUUUCCUUUGGGAUUAGGAACUGGGAUUCGAAUCUUGGAUGUUAGUGCUCUGGCCUUUAUGCCCUAGCCACAAAUCCAAGAGCUGAACCCAAAAUAAUUGGUACUCCUUUUGGACUGUUUCUAUACGUUUCCCACCUGUUGGGGUUCGUGAUAUAUAUGUCUCUGGGGUUGUAGCACCGUGAAUUUGCAAAAAAGAAGAAGAAAGUGGCAAGUGAGCUCGGUGACAAGGAAAAGCUGGGAGAUGCAUUUCUCGUCAUCGGAGAGGCAUAUCAAAAUCUUCGAAAUUUUGACAAGGCCCAUAAAUGGUACAAGAAGAGCUGGAAUGUAUACAAGUCAAUUGACAACCUGGGGGUGAGCAAUUAUCUGAUUCUUUCAUUUAUUGGAUGGGUUUUGAGUCUAGAACUUUAGUGUCCUAGGAAUUUUUGAUUUCUGCUAAGAAACCAACUAUUGGUUGUUCUAUCAAUCUUUCUAUCUAUAGGUGGGUAUUUGGACGUCUAUCUAGCCCCACAUAACUAUCCUCACUGAUGAAGUUUAUAAGUUACUGAACUAUAACUAGAAGCCUGCCUUUCUUAAAAACUUAAGCUGAGAGCUUUAAUGGUUUCAGGGCCAAGGGCUGGCCAAAGUUAAUAUUGGCAUCGUUUUGGAUUCUGCUGGUGACUGGGCUGGAGCACUCAAUUCAUAUGAAGACGGCUACAAGUAAAUCCUAGACAUCUUUUCCAUGCUAAAACUUACUCUCUGUCUGAUUUAUGAAAACAUUAACAGUGUUAUAUUGUUUUAAUUCUCAUUUUGAUCGAUGUCUCCUAUGAUAUUUUAACCUGACGGGCUUUUGUGAAUCUUUUAAUCGCCUCUUACAUAAACCUACUUGCUCCUGCAGGUUUGCUGUUGAAAGCAACUUAAUUUCCGUACAGAUUACAGCACUUGAAAAUAUGCAUUAUAGCCAUAUGCUGAGAUUUGACAAUGUUGAAAAGGCAAGGUUAGCAGUCAUAAAUAAAUGAAUUUGGUUUCUUUUUAUAAAAAUAAAAUGGCAUGGUUUCCACGUUUAAAUUGGAUGAUUACUGCUACUAAGAUAGCAGCUUUGCAGGGAGUUGCAACAAACUAUUGAGAAUUUGAAGAUUUCCCAGAAUGAAAAAAUUGGAGGAAAACAUUUGGAGGACGAUUGUUGCUCUGAAUCUGCUACAGGAGAACAGUAUUUUUCAGACACCGAAUCAGAUGCACAUGGUUCACUGAAUAUAAUUGAAGAACCAUCUACAUCAAUGCCAGUAGAUCCAAUAAAUACUAUAGGAGUCAGAGAUGACCUCCCUUUGGCCUCAUUUAUUCAGUCCUGUAAGAAAUCAUCUUGGUCACAAAAGUCACAAGUGGGUUGCUGUCGAGAAAAAUCUCCAAUUUGUGGUGAUUCAAUGGAAGGUUUCUCAGGAGAUAACCAACAACUACUGGGACGUAAGCGAAUUCGUUUGGUUCUUUCUGAUGACGAAUUUGAUAAUGAUGAUGAAAGGGGUCAUCCUCGAGAAAAGAUGGAUAUUCAUCCCAUUCAUGUUGGUGUGACUUCUGAUGAAGGUUGGUAUUAUGUAAUUGCAACUAUGGUUUUUAGUGUAAGAAAUUGGGUGUGUUCAUUCAAAAUUUCAUUUCUUUCCAUGAUGUUUAUUAUUGACAAAUAAAUUGGUUAUCCAGCUGUGGCAGAGCAAAAGAAGGAUGUGUCAACAGAGCCUGCUCAGGUAAUUCUGAUGACAUGGGCAUAAAAUUUUGCGGUACCUCUUUAUCAAAGAGCCUUAUGCCCUGCAUGUUGCUCUGCAGUGUUAUUUUGUGGCUUUUUCAAAUGAGAUAUUAACAUAGAAUCCUUCAUCAUUAUAUUGUUUUUCCAGAAAAAAGUAGUUCUUCACUUACUCUUCUGCUUAAAACUAGGGUAAUGGAUUGCUAUAGUAAAUUGAAAAAACUUCUGAGUACAUAUGUGCUCGAUACUUAAUUUGGUUCUAAGAGAGUCUUCGAAGAGAUGAAACAUUUUUGUUUAACAGGGAAUAUCUACUUUCCCCACAUAUUUUUCCAGUGUAAAUACCUCCUCCCAUCUCGAAAGAAGGCCUUGUUCUAAAAUAUCUAGAAGUAACAAUUCUGAAUAUGAUAACAUGGAAUUCAGGAUCUUAAAUAUUGAAGAAAUGCAUAAUGCUUCUAGUCAAAUGGUCAAAGGUUCUGAAAUGUGUGGAAACACAGUCUCCAACAAAGUCCUUCCAAGCCAAAAUAAUAUGCUCACUUUUGAAAACAAACGUGAAGUAGGUUGUGUUCCUUGUGUUCUGUUUUUCUAGUAAUCUCAUUGUUGUGGCUCACUAGCAAAACAACACAGGAUUUUGUUUGUGAAUACUUCUUGUACUACCAUGAGGAAAAAUUAUCCUAUGCAUUUCUUUGCAAUGCUUUCUGUGCUGUCCCAUGUUUUAACCAUUAAAAAAUUGCCAAAUACAGUUUUAUAGCACUCAGAUUAACCUUGCUUGCAAAUUGGCCGUGACUAUUUAAUUUCAGUUAGCAACAGUCAUAUCUGCAGCUUCUCUGAGUGAUUUCAAUUAGAUGCUAUGGAAUGAUGUCAAUUUGAGAAUAGCUUGUUAUUCUUUGCGUUUCUUAUUCAAAUAUUAGGCAUAUUAGCUGUUUAGUUUCAGUUCUCUUUGUGCAAUAAAAAAACCCAAGAUGGGAUGUUUCUGGUAACUUGAAUUUCUCGUAUGAAACUAAUUUCAGUUUUUCUCGUUUUCUCAAUAACAAAAAUCUGAGAUUGCAUGUGUUAAGUUUGGUCCUUUUUUCUUGUUUUCUACAAGAUGAUCUGGGAGUCAUAUGAGCUUGUUUACUAAAAUAAACUCAAAUUUUAUGAUUGGUCAAGUUUUUUAUAUUACUUGAAUCAAAUGCAGUUAACUCAUGUCUAAUCGGUUCAAUAUAGAAAAUGAUGACGUGAGGAGGAUUGACUGGUACUUGUGCUCCCAACUUUUGGACAAGAACAUCAUAAAUCUGUGUUCUUAGCCAUUUUUAGCUGUGGGCAUUUCCAUCAUUUGUCUAGGGGCAAUGAUGAAAUAAUCUUGUACAGCUAAGCUUGGCAUUUAACCUGUAAACAUUGAUCAUGCCUAUAAAGAUGUCUCCUAAUUUUUUGAUUGCUUUUGCCAAAGAAUAAGAAUGCCCUUUUCACAAAUGUUGUACAACAUAGAGAUAACAUUGUUCUAAGUUCGUGCAUUAGGGAGGUGCAUAGUAGAAUAGCAUUUUAUAGAGCUUGGCAGCUAUAUAAUUCUAGGGGAGCAAUGGACCACUUUCGUAGUUGAUUUUCCCUGCACCUUAAUUGUGCAUAAAAAAUUAUUAACUAGCUAAAUUUAAAUUAAAUAUUUGUUUGAUAAUGAUAAAGUAAAAGGGAUGUAGGGAAAUUUGAGAAAAUGAAAAAAAAAAAACAACAAUUCUGGCCAUACACAAGCAAUUACUAUGAGAAACCUAGGGUUUUUUUCCCUAACCCACUUAGGGUUCUAAAAGCCUAAGCUUUUCUUUCUCUUUCAAAUUUGAAAUUACAUGGAAUGCCUCGAGGUUCCACACACCUCCUACAUAUAAUAAUUUAAUGUUCAAAGGACAUUAAAUGUUCAUACAAUAAUUAAAAGGAAAAAGUUUAUCUAGAGUCGGGGCUUUAAACAAUCAAAUUAGACUCCACCUCAAAAAUUUUGCUAGAAGAGGUUGUUUUGAUACCCAAAUAUCCUCAAAUUGAUCGUCCCAACAUCAAGAUGCAUGGACAUGAGAAAAAAAUGCAUUUCAAGUUUUGGAAAUAGUGCAUCUUGUAACGCAUUUUUGGACCGUCAAUUUUCAAGAUUUUCAAGUUUUCAUAGAUCUGCACGAUGUACACUAUUUUCUAAGCUUUAGAUUUUAUAAUUAAAGAUGAAAAUACAUUUUAAGGCUAUCACAAAGAUUUCUAGUGAUGACUCAAACCACAUUUCUUGACAUGAUUUGAAGAUGCGCAUUACUUUGAUUGUUUAGAGCCUUGGCUCUAUACAAGCCGCACCCUAAUUAAACUGACCCAAAAAGUCAUAACUUAAACACAAAAUUUAUAAUAACAAUUUUACCUCACUGAACAAUAACCCAUGAACAGUGCUUGUGAAUAGUACCUAUGAAUUGUAACUAGUGAAUAGUAAUUAACAAAUGUAAAAAAUCCUAGAAUCAUUAAAAAACUUAAAAAUCCUAAAAAUAAACCUUAAAAAGUAAAAUUAAUAUAUACAUCAUUUGAAAUUGAAUAAGAAUUAUUUUGUCCUGCAUCAAAAAAACUCGAGUUUUGAAGUGGGCUAAGAUGAAUUUCGCCUUAGUUCUAUAAACGUUUUCAGCCUAAACAUUAUGCUCUAAUCUUUGGACUUGUGGUUUAUUGGCCCAAUUAAAGUGGACUAGUUAUGCAUUGGGACGUGGGCUUUAAAAUAAUCAAUUGAUAUAUUCAUAAACACUUUUGAGAGACUCUCAGGGAAAGGGUCUUUUAUGUCAACAUAUUCUAUUUAGCAGUUUGCUUGAAUUGCAUUAGUUCAAUCAUAGAACUCCGCUGAAUUUGCCUAGGCUCAGCCUUAGACCAUACCGCUGGUGCAUCUUCAAGAUGAGUGUUGAAUUUGAUGAUUGAGCUAACAACGUUACCUAUUAAUUCUCCUUGGUGUCCAUCAUAUUUUAUGUCAAAGAUUGGUUUAACUAUGAAAUCUUGUUUUCUCAUCAUUGGUCGAAUCUCCUACAAGAUCUUGUUAUUAAUUUAUGUAUGUAUCGAAUAUUGGUCGCAGAUGCCUAACUACAAUCUAUUGGAUAAAACCUACGUUAAGAUCAAGAAUAUCCUCCAAACCGAAAAUCCUAGAGUGAUGUUCCCCAUGUUUAGGUCUUCUAUUACUUUUCUCUUCACUCGACCAUUCACGAAGGGUGGUACUUGACAUCUUCUUAGGUGGAAAGAUCACUGUCUUGCCCAUGAACGAUGCUCUCAAACUGUUGCGCCAAUUGCUGAAGUUGCCUUUUAAGUUCGUCAAUUUGUUCAUCUCUGGGACCACAAAAUGGAUAUGAAGAAACCUCCCUUCCAUGAUCCCUUCUUGCUGUUAUGGGUUCUCCAAAAUCACAAACCCUAGGCAGAUAAUCAACAAAACCUUGCUGAAAACAGCAAAAUCUACACUGAUUUGGCAAAAAUUGGCCCAAAAUAAACAAACACUAGACUUGGUUGUAGUUUCCUGGCUUCAUUGUUGAAGAAACCUUGAGCUCUAAUGCCACUUGAUGUAGGGAAAAUUGAGAAAACAGAAAAAACAAUAAUAAUUUAGCCCAUACACAAGUAAUUACUAGGAGAAACCUGCGAUUUUUUUUUUACUAACCUAGCUAGGGCUUCAAAAGUUAAGUUUUUUUUUUUCUCUUUCGAUUGUGAAAAUCAUAUGGUUACUCCCUCAAGGCCCCCUACACAUCUUAUGUAUUAUAGUUUAAUGUUGAAAAACAUUAAAUGUCCAUACAAUAAUUUAAAUAAUAAAAAAAGUCUUAACUUAAAACACAAAAUUUGUAAUGAUAAUUUUGCCUCCCUAUGAACAAUAACCCAUUAACAAUAUCAAUAGUACUUAGGAAUAGUAACCAGUGAUUAAUAAAUACAAUAUAAAAAAUCCCAAUAAUCCCAAAAUACUUAAAACCCUAAAAGUAAACUCUAAAACUCAAAUUAAAAUUUACAGAAUUUGAAAUUGAAUAAAAAUUAAAAAUAUGAAUCGUUUGUCCUGCAUCAGAAUGAUAGGAAAUAAACAUUUGAAAGAUCUUUUGAAUUAUGUAGAAGUUAGCAAAACUUGGUGCUGCUUUUCUGUUGCAUUUAACUCUCUCUCUCUCUCUCNNNNNNNNNNNNNNNNNNNNNNNNNNNNNNNNNNNNNNNNNNNNNNNNNNNNNNNNNNNNNNNNNNNNNNNNNNNNNNNNNNNNNNNNNNNNNNNNNNNNNNNNNNNNNNNNNNNNNNNNNNNNNNNNNNNNNNNNNNNNNNNNNNNNNNNNNNNNNNNNNNNNNNNNNNNNNNNNNNNNNNNNNNNNNNNNNNNNNNNNNNNNNNNNNNNNNNNNNNNNNNNNNNNNNNNNNNNNNNNNNNNNNNNNNNNNNNNNNNNNNNNNNNNNNNNNNNNNNNNNNNNNNNNNNNNNNNNNNNNNNNNNNNNNNNNNNNNNNNNNNNNNNNNNNNNNNNNNNNNNNNNNNNNNNNNNNNNNNNNNNNNNNNNNNNNNNNNNNNNNNNNNNNNNNNNNNNNNNNNNNNNNNNNNNNNNNNNNNNNNNNNNNNNNNNNNNNNNNNNNNNNNNNNUUAAGUUAAAGUAACGUUACGUUUAGUUAAGUUAUUAGUAGGUAAGUAAGUACGUAAACGUUACGUUACGUCGUCGUCGUUCUUCGUUCGUACUACUUACUCUCUCUCUCUCUCUCUCUCUCGCUCUCUCUCUCUCUCUCUCUCUCUCUCUCUCUCUCUCUGUUUAGUACACACACAUGUUGCAGUAGUUGUAUUUUAUGCACUUAUAUGAAUAGGUGUAUUGAAAUGCACUCGCGUAUAUCACUGGGAUGUAAAUUGCAUGUACAAGUUCUAGCCACCACAACAUCUUGAAGGUGAGCUUUCGACGAGUGGGCUACUACUUGUCAUAGCCUGGUGCUCGUUAAGGCAUGCUAUGGCUAUACUGUCGGAUUUCUCGCUCCACACUGGAUAAACCCUUAAACUAGAAAGCAAGCAGCCAAGCUAAGUCUAGAAACGCACAAUCAAGCCUUCCAAAACCCUUCAAAACAUAUGGAUGUAUUAAUGUAUACAUGUGUAUACUGUAAGCAUAUUUUCUAGGUUUUCUAAACCUUGUGCCUUCUUAGAAUUGCCUCUUCUAGGUUCUUGCAUUCUCUCCACCAGAGAUUAUCUGCAACCAAAGCCAUUUUAUGAUUAUGAGCUAUGUGGUUCUAUAUGGUCUUUUUUGGGUGAUGUCCUGUUUCUAUAUACAUCUAUACGUGUGUAUGUAUACUAUGUAAAUAGGCAUAUCAUGUUAGCCCUUUUCAGGAUUCCAUGUUUUCGCUUUAUCUUAAAUUUGCGUUCUGCAUCAAAAAGCAUAAUAUGAGACCAAAAUAUAUGUAUUUGUAUCGUGCUCAUGUUUGAUGCAGUUCUGUCAUUUUAAGCUGCACGUCAUGGUUUGAAUAACUUGUAUUAAGAAAAUCAGCUCCUUUCAGCCUCAUUAUUUUCAAUUGUUGUGAGAGAAUUUAAAAGCUUUAUACUUUGUUUACACUUUACAUGUGAUGUGCUUGCCUUGCAUAAUUAACUAGAUGAUUUUGACUACAUGCCCUUAGAAUAUUUGUGUUAUGUAAUUUUCCCUGGAUGGUGUCAGGCCUAUAUUCAUUUAAUGCAUUUGGAAAGUUUCUCGCUUCAAUGUAUUUUCUAAUUUAUGUAAUAUUCUUGCAGUCCAAUACUAUCUCAUGUAAAGUAGGUGAUAUCAUGAUCAGCGUUCCCAUAAGUUCAUGCUUGGAGGGCGAUACACUGAGUAUAGCUUGCAUGAAAGUUGAUUUGGCUUGUCGUUAUUAUUUAAUGCUUCUGGAAGAAAAGAGGUCCAAAGGUAUCAGUUUACCAUCCAAUUUUCAGUGGGGUCUCUUAGAAUCCAGCUUCUUAAUAACAACUUAGUUUUUGAUAUUCUGACCAUUUCAGACUUAUUUCGAUUAUCUUGGUAUCGUAAUUGCUGUGGUUCACUUGGUUAGGUGUCUUGCCUGUUAUUCGGGAUCUGAAGCACAAUGGAAAGCCACUUAAAUCCACUGAAUUCAUAGAAGAUCUUAGAGACUGCUUUGGUGGAGAAAGCUGGAUUGAAGUAGUCAUUGGUGGUAAGACCUAGACUGUGCUUUUCAUCACGCAGUCUCUAUGCUCCUUUGUCCUCUUAAGGUUGUUAUUAAUAAUUCAAGUUCAUACAUAUUCUAAUUUGCUCAUUCAAUCCUUCAUGUGAAGUUACCUUUAUAGAGUUAUAAGUAGAUCUAUGCCAGUGCAAAUAUCAUUAUUAUAUGCGUUUGUUGUCCAUGUCUAUACUAUGGCACCUCCUCCGAUUGUGCCACACCUCCCAUAGACCCUGUUUGCUUCUUGCACCAAAUCAAUGUGACAAACGCUCCUUUCAAUCGACCCUUAUAUGCAUGUAUCUUGUAUCAUGCUGAGAGCUCAGAUUAAUAUUUUGACUGGUCAUGUCAUAGACUCAUAGCCACAAUUGAUUGGUUUGUCCGUGAUACUGGUUGCCUCAUGCUGUGGAAAUCUUGAAACAUAUUCAAACUGUUGAUAAAUUUGUAACCUAAACACCUGAUAUCCUUUUGAUAAUUCAUAUAUUAUUUUUAAUUGCAUGGUGUGGGAGUAAGGGAAGUCUGUUUAUCACAUGCAUCAAAGUUGGUAGUGUCUGAGCACAUGUUCACAAAUCUAUAUAUGUUUGUAUGCAUGCAUGCACAAAUGAAUGUAUACAUGUACUGAAGUAUUCUUUUCUAAAAUAGGUAUAUCUGAUGAAAAAAUAUUCAUUUUAUGAAGGAUAUCUCUCAAAAGAGAAAACAAUCACUAACCCACUAUAAGAAAAUUAUGGCCUAAUACAGAGAAUUUGAUGCCUGAUUAUUCAAAAUAUUGGCGUCCAAUUGUUCGACUUAACUUGGGCCAUUAUGUUGUUCAGUAAUAGCAUAUGACUAAGGGGAUACUUGUUUUUAAUGUUGGAAUUUGGACUCCACAUUGUUCAUAGUAUUUUUGAAGUGUAUCUCUCUUGGUUUAAAAACUCUAGCAAGAGACAAAGGACUCACCUUAGUGGACUCCGCUUGGCUUUUGACAGAAAAUUCAAAACUUGAAUGAUGCUCAAGUCUUCCAUGAAGUUUUCAAAUAUCUCUCCUUUUUUUGUUUAAAGACUGAAUUAGUCUAGGCUUGCGAAUCGGCUCCAAUGAUUAUUUGGUCUAUAGUCAAAUAUUUUCUCACUCUUUCCAAUGUGAUGAUUGAUCCAAAGAUAUCUUUUGCACGAAUGAAGUGGGUUCUCUGCUUUAUUUGUGCUUACUUUAGAUGACUAUUUUUCAGGUAUAUCAUGAAAGGAAAAUUGUUUCAUGCGGCUGGACCGAAUUUCUAUAUAUGCGGUCCAGAAAGUGUAAAGCAUCAAUAUUAAAGAUGGAUUCAUCUAAAAACAAUGGAAACUAACGGUCCAAAAUUUUUCUUACUGGAUCUAUUAUUUCUAGUUUUUAAAAUUUAUUUAUUUAUUCAUAUUCAUGAUCUCCAUCUUAGAGAUUACAUAUUCUUAAAAAUUAAGUCGUAAAAUCCAUCACAAAAAUAGAUUUAUUAAAUGGCCUGCAUUUCUACAUAUGCGGGCUUGGCCACAUGGAAACCGGGUCCAUCAUGAAACAUCUUGUUCUUCAAUGUUCUAGCUUUCUGCACCUUCAGUAUUUCUUGCAAAUAUGUACAUCAUAUAUGCCUUUGCAAUUUCUUUUUGUUUGUCAAUUGCAGGAUGGGUUCAAAAGCACUUGAUUAAGUUUUAUAUUGACUGUUGUGUUAAAUGCUCUGAAGAACCCAAUAUGAAGCUAUUGAGAAACUUGUACAACUUGGAGGUAUUUCCAUUGCUAACUCUAGUGUCAUUUUUUUGCAUCUCCUGAGAAUUAAUUGGCACAACAUAGGCCACUAGGUUGAGUUUCCUUAAUUGCAUGGAGUUUAUUUUUAAGUUUUGAUUUGUGUACCCAGGUUAGCGAGGAUGAAGUUGUAGUCUCUGAUUGUGAAUUACAAGAUGUAUCGUUUUUGCCUCUUUCAAAGGCGCUUCUAGAACAUGGGACAGUUUCCAUUUUGAACUUGUCUCAUAACUUGUUAGGUAGGUGUUGUCUUCUUGGAUGUUGUGAGUGCCUUGUGUCUUUUUAUUUCUCUCCUCAUUUAACAGCUAUUCACAAUUAAAAGUCCAUGUAAAUGUUGCAUUAUCUCUACUUGUAGUUUUGUUCUCCAUAGAUUUUAAUGUUCAUUUACUGGAAACUUUGAUAGUGGUGAAAAUUUUAUUUACAUUGUAGGAGUGUCUAAAAAGUUGGACUCGGGCUCCAAGUUGUGGAAUUCCUGAGCCUGAGUCCAUCACAGAUUCAGCAGAGUUGGAGUCCAAGUUAGCGAAUUUUUGCUGAAAAUAACAAACAUUAAUCUGCGUUCAAGAGAGAAUCACCUGAUUUUUAGGCUUCUCUCACCGGAUUCGCCAGGGUCCCGAUCCAAUCUGACUCAGGGAAUUCCUGAGUCAGAUGGGUGGGCUUUUAAUCACUUCUUUAUAGUGUGCAUUUUCUAUGUAAUGAGGCCAGAUACCCAUACUUAGCCCGACUUUAUUGUAACGAUCGAACUUUCUUGGAUAGGAUUUGUGCAAUUGUUAUUGUAAAUGUUGGUAUUCCUUUUAGCGCACUGUUAGAUCAUCGCAGACUUGGAAAAAAGAUUCCUUAGCCUUUUUCUUUCCCCUUUCCUUUGUGUUAACGGGUCAUGUACCCUACUAUGUACUGCCUUCGUUCCAGCUACUGUCUAACAUUCUCUGUCAAUUAUGGAACAUGUGGUGUUUAUCAACUCUCUCCCUUUCAGGAAAUGAGACGUUGAAGAAACUGCAUGAAGUAUUCUCUUUGUCAUGCCAAAGUUAUGGUGGGCUGACAUUGGAUUUGCAUUGUAAUAGAUUUGGACCAACUGCACUAUUUCAGGUUCUUAAACUUCCCUUAUUCAAUUAGUUGGGAAAAAGGCUUUGACGAUGAUAAUGAAACUUCCACCAUUCAAUUUUUUUUCUAGGCAUUCAAAACUAUUUAGAUAAAGAUUAUUUUCCAAUGGUUGUGUAAGGCCUUCAUUGUCUCUAUCUAUGGUACCAAUGCUUUAUACUGAUAUGUUUUUGAUCAUUGUUAAACAAUCAAAAACUGCUAUUUUCAUGCAUGUACACUUAUACAACUUAUUGAGUUGUGAAUGCUUCUUUGUUUUAAUAAGUAAAAUCAUGAUAAAUUCGUUUAUAUGAAUAUUUCUAUUGAACUCCCAUAAUAUAUGAAUAAAUGAAAGACAAAAAGUGAAAAUAACAAAAACAAAAACAUAAAAAAGAUGUAAAGCAAAAGUUAAAAAACAACUCCAAUGAUUCGAUUGGAAAAAAUCCUUAGGAGAAUUUUAAUGGCUAGUGAUGUGAAACUAGAACUGGAGUGUGUUGAGUAAAAAUGGCGAAAUAGUUUCAUAGACUGGGACUCAAAAGCAUAUUAUUUUGUUAUUGAUCAAGACAUUUUCAUAUGAAAUAGCUUAUGAAAAGGUACUUGGUCAAAAUAAAGUAGUUUAUAAAAAUGUUCCUUCUAAAAGGGGUGAGGUUUUUUUCCCAUUUUUGUAACUCCACUCAUAUGUAGUCACAUACAUAGCUGAACAGUCUGAAUUGUACAUAUGGCUUUUGACAUUAAAAAAGUGGGUGUGGAAACGUCUUGUAUUGUUUAUAGUACAUCAUCCAUAUAUAGUUAGUGUAUCAUAUCAUAUAUAGUAGGUGUAUUAUAUGACAUUAUUGAAGGUGCCGUGGUGCAUCAUGUAUAGGAAGUGUAUCAUAUGCAAGUUUCCCUCGUGUUGUAUAUUUAUAUGUGACUAGUGAAUGAGAUGUACAAGUUUUCUUUCUGCCUCUUUGAGUGUUUUACAUGGUAUCAGAGUAAAGAUUUUGAGCAAUGUUUUAAAAAUUGGUGACUUGAUCCGGAAUCGGGAGAUCCUAAUCGGGUAUCGUCCAGCCCGUCCUUGACGGGAUCCGACCGAUUAUCUACAUUAAAUCGCGUGCUGUCAUCAUGGGUUGCCUGCUGAUGUCAUUGAUCGCCAGGUCUACCACAUCCGUACCUUAUAAAUUUUUUUUUUUAAAAAUUAGGGGCGGCACAACUUUUUGUGAGGAAAAUACAAACUUAAAAUAACAACCUUCAACUACAUGCCACAUGGCGACCAAACAAAGCAUCUGCAAUUUUCCCUAGCACGCGUGUCUAUUGUUAAGCUACAAUGCAAACCCAUGGCUUUUAUAAAGCCUAGCGCUUCCUAACUUCCCCGAUGUGGGACUUGCUCCUUCCCUGGCACUAUAGUAAAAAAUACUUAUUUGUUGCGCUAAGUUCCAGGUGUUUUCAAAAUAACACGUAGUUUGCACCAACUGCAAACUACACCCCGUACUUAUUGUUAUAUAAUUAUAAAUAUUCAUAAUACUACUAAUAAAUAUGAUUAUAAAUUUAAAUCAAUCCAAAUUAUUUCAAAUGUCAUAUAGUUGGCCUUCUAUUAUGAAUACAAUCACAUUAAAAUUCUAGUAAUAUUAUUAUAUUGAAUGAAUAUAAUUAUAUAAAAGUUGUUCAAUUAUUUACUAUAAUUAUGUUAAAAUUGUUAUUGAUAUAUUGAAAUUUUUAUCGUUUUAAAUACAUUAAAACAUCACAUAAUUUUAAUAUAUUAAAUUGCUAUGUUAUUUAAUAAAUUGUUAUUGUUAUAUAGAUUAUGUCAUUUUCAUAUUUAGUAUAGAUUGUAAUUUUAAAUUAAUAUAUUUAUAACUUUAAAAAAUAUUAACAAAUAACAUAUUGUUAAUUUAUUAUUAUUAUAAUAACUUAUUUUAUGCAACAAUGAAAGUUAAAUAUAAUUUUGAAUUGUAUUAAGUUGUUUUAUAAAAUGAUGAAACAAGUUCUCCGUAUUUUCAUAGUUUUUAUACAAUAAUGAAAAAUCAUAAUGCAAAUCACCACUAUUUUUUUAAAAAAAAUUUAAAAAACUAGAUUUUUAAGAAAUUAUAGUGAUUUUUUUUAAAUUAUUUUAGGCUGAAACCGUUGAUCCAGCUGAUGUGAUGCCAAUUUCACUUUAUAUGGAAAAUUAUUAUAUUUAAUCUUAUAAUAUAGAACUGUAUUCUAAUUUUUAAAUUAUUUUGAUGUAAUAUUAUAAUAUUAUAUUAUAAUUAAUAAUUAUACUGACAUCCAGCAAGGAAAACAACAUCUUAAUAUUCAUUUAUUUUUACAAAAUAAUGAAAGUGUCUAAUGCACUACUCCUAAUUUCUUUUUGAAACUAAAAGAACACUAUUUUUAGAGAUUUAUAGUGUUUUGUUUUGGGACAAAAAUUGCCGAUUCAGUCAAUCCUCCGUUCCGAUCCGAUCCACCGAUCCAACAUGGGUAUGGGUGAGGAUGAUUUGGGUUCCCGAUCCGUUUUUUUAAACACUGGUUUUGAGAGAUCAAGUUUUUCUACCUCAAACCACAUUGUCUUUCCUCAUCUAAUCACCACAGAGAUAAGGUGGUUUUCUUGUAGCCUUUUGUGGAUCUCUUAUUGGCCUUAUUUUGGUUGAUCUUUGUAUGGGGUCUCAAAUCUAACCUCUUUUGGGUUGAUUUCUGGCAGCCCAUAAACAUUUCCAGCUGAUGAUUUUGAAAUCUCAGUUUUGAUCUCAGAUCAAGCCUUUUGAUCAAGGUUUGAUCUCAUAUCUUCUUUAGGGUUUUCUUUUGAUUCAAUCUGAGUUUUGAUCACAUAUAGAGGGUGCUAAUGUGGAUUGGGCCUUCUGAGAAGGGAGAUGUGUUGGCGGUAAAACUUGAUGGGGAAAAACUAUCCAGAUCGGUGUAUUUCAGUAUUUUUUUUUGAAGGAAAGGGCUUUUGGGGGUAUGUUGAUCAAAUUGAAUCACAACCUGCUCCAUCCAACUCCAAAGAAACCUAACAAUGGUAGGUAAACAAUGCUAAGAUUGUCUCGUGGAUCCUAAGUUAUGUGGAUACAAAUAUUGGAAUUCCAAUCAAAGAAUUUCACACUAUGAAAGAAAUAUGGGAAUAUCUAGAAAAGGUUUAUUAGAAAUCAAAUAUUGCAAAAUGAUUCUAAAUCGAGUGUGAUAUGUUUACUCAUGUACAAGGCAAAAAGAAUAUCCAAGAAUAUUAUGUUGGUUUCUUGAACUUGUGGACAAUAUAUUACUACGUUAAGUGUGAAGGCUCUAAUAUUUGCUACAUUAGAAGUUAAAGAUAAAUUAUUAAAGGAAGGUGAUGCAGUUUUGGAUGGAGUUCUGCUCCAAAUAUGGGGUCGUUAUGCUCCAAAUAUAAAGUUUGUCUUUGUGGCCCAACAAACUAGAGUAAAACCAUCAUGAAAGAACCGGUCUUCAUUGUAACGCUAUGAAUGUAAAAUAUUGUAUUCCUUCCAUGGGGUUGCAAAAUCCUGUUUGCUUCACAAUUACUAUUGCAUGACAAUAGAGUCUGAUAAUCUGGUGUUUCCAUGCUGAUUCUGGACCUUCCACUGGUCCCGUACUAUAAAGUGUUUCACUAUAGCAUGACUAGAAUUCAGUUUGGAGCUCAAGCAGGAACCGUGAUGAGCGGGAUUUGCGAAUCAGGAUUUGGAUUCAGCAAGUUGUUAAUUAAUAUUUUCGACAAAUGUAAAAAAUAGACACUUGAUCAAAAUAAUAACAGAUUAUAAUAAUUAUUUAAAAUUGCGAUUGUAACUGGCUAGACACUGGAAACAAGCAUUGUGUUUUCCUGUUUCCUUGAGAUCUCAUAAAUGAAACAUGAAACUCGACGAAUCUUGGUGGACUGGGCAAGUUCAUAGUGAGGCUUGGCUGAGUCUCAUUUACCUUUAUUCCCAUGUUUCUGAGUUGAUGGGAUUUAGGACUGGCCUGUUCUGAGUCAACUAAGAAAGUAUGUAGUCAUGAGUUUUAAAUGCAGUAAAUAAACCAAUCCAAUAGGACAUGACUCUUGUAUGGAUAUUAUACUUCAUAUACCUUGGGGCCAUUUGGACACCUGGAAAUAUAUUGUCUGUGAAAUAUAUUACGGGCGUAAUAUGUUACUGUGUAAUACAUUACCUUCAAAUGGGUAGUAUUUAUAUGUAACUUGGAAAUACAUUGCUACUGUUUGGCUAUGUCGAGAAGAAAUAUGAGAAAUGCAUUACCAUCCAAAUAUGAAAAAUAUGGUUAUGUUUGGCUAACAUGAUUAGACUUUGAUUUCAACAUGAUAAGUCAUUGGAAUAACAUGAUUUUAUUGUGAUAAGCCUUAUUUUUAUUUAUUUUUUAUAGAAGUCUUUCAAAUGUCUCUCUAUAUAUAAUUUCAAAUAAGCAAUAAAUUUAUGAUACCAAAAUCAAAAUCUUUAUGGUACGAGUUAAAAAUGGGAAGAAGUUUGAUUAGUAAACUAGAAGGUUUGGUAAUUGCAGUAGAAAAUUUUGAAGCAUUGGAGGAGACUGAAGAGGUAUCUUAUUUCAAUUGAGCUUUUACUAAUAUCUUAUGAGGAUUAUGUUGUGUGAAAUUUUUUAUUAUGAUUGUGUUGUGUAAUUUCUCGUCGAUUACCAAUUAUUAUUUUUGUUUUUAUACGAGAGCUGAUGGCGGGCUACAACCCAAAUUGGGGACCCAAACUGGGGAUAGAGAGGGAAGAAGAAAUUUUUUUAUUAUGAUUGCAGUAGAAAAUUGUCCCUCAUCAAUUUCUACAACUCUUCAAAUCAAUUUAGAUUUCUUUUUACUUUCACUUACCAAUUGGGGAUAGAGGGAUGUAGAAAGUUUUUGGGGAUAGAGGGAUUGUAGAAAUUUUUUAUUAUGAUUGCAGUAGAAAAUUGUUCUUGUCCUCGUACACCUGUUCAAAUCAAUUUAGAUUCCACUUUUCAUAUCCCACUUUCACUUUCUACUUACCUUAAUAAUUAUACAAUAAUGUUUUUUUAAGCAAGGAUAGGGUAGAGAGACACGCCCAAGAUUUCCAAAGAUUACCUGUCAACCUCUUAAUAGAUUUUCACCUUACCUGUCAACUUCCUAAUAGAUUUUUCACCCCUUACCGUGCUUAAUGGAUUUCGUGUUUUUUGGGGAAAUCUCGGGUAAUGUCUUUCCAUUUCUUUACGUGUACCCUUCCUUGUAAUCUAUUGUCAUGUAACACGUACCCAAACGGCCCCCUUGUGUACGCUCUUCUAAUUGUCUGAGGACAUCUGUGAAAUUUUUUGUCCAGGUGAUUGACAUUAGUCAUGCAUGAAUACGCAUAAAAACCUAAGAGGAAAAAAUCACAAUUAACUUUACAGCAUUCAUGUUCGUCUCUCCAACCUUUUUAGUUUUCUGACACUCUCAACCUCAAUAGUGGAUGGCGUUCGAAUGAUAUAUGAUACUUUUGGUGUUAACUUCCAUUAUGCAGUUAGUAUUAUUAAUAUUUCUGGUGUUUUUUUACUUACCCAAAAAAAAUAUUUUUGGUGUUUUUCCAGAUUUGUGAAUGCCCUGUAUUGUUUAAUCGACUGGAAGUUCUGAAUCUUUCUGGAAAUCGUCUAACAGAUGCUUGUGCUUCCUACCUUUCCACCAUUUUAGAAAAAUGCAAGGGUGGGUUAUAUUCUAUCUGUUGCUUUGAGCUGUUUUCUUAUUGUUACCUUUAAUCACAUGUAUGUGUAGUUCUUCUACAAUUGAUUUUUUCUUUUAAAACUAGAAAUUUGUAUUAGUAAGAUGUUCCUGUUUAUUACUUUGUUCUUAGAUCAUAGGUAGGUAGCUUCUCAAUAUGUAAUAUCCUAAUGAACUGCUUAUAUUCUUUUAGCAUUAUAUAGCUUAAGCAUAGAAAGCUGUUCAAUUACAUCCAGAACAAUUCAGAAUAUUGCUGAUGGACUCGACAACAAAUCUGGACUUUGGCAACUUUCUAUUGGUAAGUGUAUGCUUUCUUCUUCAUUUUUCCUAGUCAUAUGUCUGAUAUUGUCACUCAGCUCUCCCAUUAAUAUAUACCUUUUUUAUUUUUUGACUGCUUAAACAGGAAAGAACAAUCCCAUUUCUGGAAAUGCUAUGCGCUGUCUUUUGGACAAACUUUUGUCUUUAAAAAGGUCAUGUUCUAACCCAUCAUCAUAAUAUUCACUGCUUCUAGUUGGGAAAAUUGUUUACUUAUAUUAAAUAAGAUGGCACUUUGCAUCUCUCUAGAUUUUCUGGACUUAAUCUGGUUGGCAUAAAGUUCACCAAGCCUAUGGUUGAUAUCCUCUGCCGCUUUGCCAAAUCCUCGUCAAGUCUCUCCUCAUUGAUGCUUGGCUGUACUUCUAUUGGACUUGUGAGCAUCUCUCUCUCUCUCUCUCUCUCUCUCCCCCCACUAUAUUUUGCAUGCGAUCUGCUAUAUUAUGCACACUAACAAAAGUAUUCUCUAAUGACAAUUAAAUUUGUUGUGAUAGGAUGGAGCUUUAAAAUUAACUGAAGCGCUGUCAAAUGGAAGUCAAGAACUUGUGAAGCUUGACCUGUCAUUCUGUGGAGUGACUUCUCAUGAUUUUGUACAACCGGUGACGAACAUCGUCUCAAUAACUGGUCUUUUACAAUUGAACUUGAGUGGGAAUCUCCUUGGGCAGCAGGUUGUGUUCUUUCUUAUUUUUUCAAUAACUUUUCCAUUUCUAUUACUUUUCCUAUCGCCUUUUUCUUGCUCCAAAGGAACAGGGGAAAAUUGGGAUCUUUUUCAUAUGUUAACAUGCACCUUCAAUUCCUGCUGUACAUACUUUACAUAUACCAUCUAACAACGUUGGUUUUAGGAGUUUUUCCCUAGUACUGAGAAUCAGAAUAUUUUAGGCAAAUGGCUUAAUACUCUUUCUUCUUGGUAGCGGUUAUAGAAAACCAAUUAUCUGAAGCUCUCGGCGCGUAAUAAUAAGCUUCUGAAAGUAAUAGGCUGGAGCCCCCACCCCCCCAAAAAAAGAGGCUUGUUUCCUCUAAUUUUUUUAAUUGGUCAGUUUGUUUUCUCCAAUGUUAAAAAAAAUGGAUCGGUGAUUUGAAUCGGUCACAACCAUACCUGUGUUGGAUCGGGUGAAUCGGUGUAUCGGAUCGGAAGACUCAAUAAUUUGUCUCAAAAUGCUUUUAAAAAUAAUUAUAGAAAAACUGUUCAUCCUUUUCUUUUCGCUUGACUCGGUGAAGAAUCGGUCAGACUUGGUGAAGAAUCAUUGGAAUCGGCGAUUCCACAAAAAAAAACGGCGAGUCUACCAUUCUGGAUCGAGUGAAUCCCGGUUUUUUACCGGAUUCGGAGCGGUCAUGGUGAUUCCUGAUCUAGAUCACUUGAUUCAAGAUCGGGUCACCGACUUUUUGAACACUGGUUUUUUCUAAGCCUUAAGUGUAUGGUUCCAUAUUGCAGGGUCUAGGUGCCUUGGCAUCCUUCCUUGUUAGUCCUCAUUGUUGCCUGAGAGUUCUGAACCUCAACAACUGCAAUCUCGGUCUCGCUGGGAUUCUUCAAAUUCAUCAAUCCUUGGCAGGUAAUCAACAAGCCUCUCAUUUUUGUAACAUCCAUAAAGGCAAGUUCAACUCUACACAUGCUUUCCCAUUUGUUGCAGUAAACAAUUCCAUGGAAGAACUUUAUCUCGCUGAAAAUGUGACUUUGACAAACGACAUCUCUCUAAAUGAUCUUCCUAAAGAGAACCCAAGUUUAAAUUGUUCUCAUAGGAAGUUCAAACUUUCUCUCACUUCAACCAAGAGAAAAAUAGCACUAGACAAUCAACUAGGCUUACCAGAACAAGUUUCAGACAUUAAGGGCCUUGAAGUUGCAGAUAGUGAAGGUGAUGAGAACCGAGAAGAUGCAUACCUUUCUGGUUUUGAUGACAGUUGUGCUAGCUCUCAUCCACCAUCAGAGCUUGAAAUGGUAGGGAUGGAAGCAACUGAAGAACUAUGCUCUAAAGAAAUCAGUGGACAGUUCAUCCAAGAUCUUUCAACUGCCAUUGCAAUGGCAAAGACCUUACAAUUGCUGGAUCUUAGUGGGAAUGGAUUUUCCAUGGAAGCUGUGGAGGCCAUGCAUUUGUCGUGGUCAUUGAACUCAAGGUGUGGGGGAUUGAGGCAUGUGCAGGAGGGGAUUGUUCAUUUCUAUGUUGAAGGUAGAAAGUGCUGUGGAGUUAGGCCGUGCUGUCGAAGAGAUUGAUUCACAGGCCGAACGAUUAUAUGCUCCUACUUUUGUGGUGCAUUUCAUCCAUGCCACUCCCUUGGGUAAAACCCAUGUACGAGUAUUAUUUGGACCCCAAAUUUCGGGAUGUAACUUCCUCAACCCAACAAUCAACAUUAAAAGGUUUCACAUGUGCAUCUAGGGCUGCCACCGGGCUGGGCUUGGGCUGGCCAAAGCCCCUGACCUCUGCCAGACAAAAACCUGAAAUACUUAAUGGCUUGCACCGACCCGGCCCAAAUAUCUAUUUUCCAGCCCCGACCCAGCCCAGCCUAAAGCUCUGUUGUAGCCUGGGGCUGGGGCUUGGCCCAACUUGGGUUUUUUUUUUGCUCAUUUAAGAUCUAUCUCUCUUCAAAAUUAUUUUACAGGAGUUGAGCUUUAAAAUAAACAAAUUAUUUCAUAAAAAUCAAAUAUACUUUAAAUCUUUGAUGUAGGUUUUGAGGGAGAGAAUGUCCUAGGGCAAGAGGGAAGAAAGAGUCGAGGCUAUAAACAAUCAAAUUUGAGCCUAUCUCAAACAUUUCACUAGAAGAUGUUGCUAUGAUGUUCAAAUAUCUUCAAAUUGAUCAUCUCGACAUCAACAUGCACGGACAUGAGAAAAAUUGGAUUUCGAGUUUUUGCAAAUGGUGUAUUUUGUGAUGUAUUUUUUGACCGUCAAUUUUGAAUAUUUUCAAGUUUUCAUAGAUCUGAUGAUCUCUACUAUUUAUGAAGCUUUAAACUUAUAAAUAAAUAUAAAAAUAUAUUUUAAGGCUAUUACAAAAGAUUUUUGGUGGUGAAACUGUAUUUCUCGAUACUAUUUGAAGGUAAGCGCCAAUUUGAUUAUUUAGAGCCUAUUAUCUAUACAAACCGUACCUAUACAUAUUUUGUUAGGGUGCAGUUGGCAUAUAUGGAUGCAUCGAUAGCUGUAGAGGUAGGUAAGGUGCACUUUUAAAUUUUAUCAUGGUCUAUAAUUUUGCUAUAAAAUGAUCGUAGGAUUAUAUUAAAAUAUAUUUUUAUAUCUAAUUAUAAAAUUUUAAAUUUAAAAAAUGGUCAAAAUCAAGUAGAUAUAUAAACAUAUGAAUAUAUUGAAAAUAGAUGCUGUAAAUAAUAUGUUGUAAAAUGUACUAUUUUUUAGACUUAAAAUCUUUUUAUUUUAUGGUCAUAUAUCAUCUCGUUGUCGAGAUGAUCAAUCGAAUGGUUUUUCAACAUUAAAACUAUUUUUUUGGAUAGAUUUUUGAAGUGCAUCCGUAAUUCUAUAUUAUAAGAUCCUUUUCUUAUAUAAGCUUUUUCCAUUUAGUUAAGUCGUCUAUAGCUAAAGCAGAAAGAUAUGUUCAGUCCAUAACCACGGGUGGCAAAGUAUUAUUUCAGGCAAAGGCAAUCAAGGUGGCGGGUACCACAACGAGAGGUUCAUUCUCACGAGUCGAACGUUAAUAUGGGAAAACACUUACGAGUACUCGCACUCAUGAUUGCAUUUUUUUACAGUAUUGUCCAUAUGGUUUAUUACCAUUCAAAGUCCAUGUUUGAAUUUUAAUAUUUUUUUAUAAAUUAGAUUCAAUUGAAAUUUGUAGUAGUGUAUAUGUAAGCUAAAUAAAGUAUAAAAAAUGAAUCUCAAAAAAUAAAAUGAUGAAAAUGCCCUUAUAAUUUUCAUAAGUCUAAUUUGCUUAUAUUUAUUAUUUAUAUUAUUUUAUUUGAGUGUGAACUUUUGAGGCAUACACAUCCACAAAAUUUUAGGUUAAUUUGAUUUAUAAAAAAUUAUUAAAUUCAAACAUUAUUAAGUUAAUUUGAUUUAUAAAAAAUUAUUAAAUUCAAACAUUAUUAGACAAUCACAAUUAUUAAAUUCAAACAUUAUUAGACAAUCACAUGUUGAAAAUAGGGAAGAGGUGCUUGUCUAAAAUCCGAGGUAUUGAUGGCAAUGUUGUUGGACUGUUGAUCUUAGAGAGGUUGGGUAAAUGAUUGAGAAUAUUUUAUUUCUCUUUAUCUCUCAAUGGCUAUGAAACUUUAAUUUAUAAAGGGAUGAGAGGAGGUUGUUUUUUUUCUUUUCUACAAUAUUUGAAAAGUGGUCAUCAAUACAUGAGAGAUGAUGAUUUAUCCACUAUCCAUUGGAAAAAAGGAUUUUUUCUCUCUAAAAAACUUUUAAAAUAAACAUUAAUUAAUGUAUAAUAUUUUUAGAAAAAGAUAUUAACUAAAUAACAAAAGAAAUAUGUAGCGUAUGUGAGGCACCAUGGCCACAUGCAUGUACCAACAUUGUGGGUGUUUGAAAAACUUUAGAUGGUGACGAUCCAUGAACGAAAUUAUGUAGAGAUUGACUAAUGAGUGUUUUNNNNNNNNNNNNNNNNNNNNNNNNNNNNNNNNNNNNNNNNNNNNNNNNNNNNNNNNNNNNNNNNNNNNNNNNNNNNNNNNNNNNNNNNNNNNNNNNNNNNNNNNNNNNNNNNNNNNNNNNNNNNNNNNNNNNNNNNNNNNNNNNNNNNNNNNNNNNNNNNNNNNNNNNNNNNNNNNNNNNNNNNNNNNNNNNNNNNNNNNNNNNNNNNNNNNNNNNNNNNNNNNNNNNNNNNNNNNNNNNNNNNNNNNNNNNNNNNNNNNNNNNNNNNNNNNNNNNNNNNNNNNNNNNNNNNNNNNNNNNNNNNNNNNNNNNNNNNNNNNNNNNNNNNNNNNNNNNNNNNNNNNNNNNNNNNNNNNNNNNNNNNNNNNNNNNNNNNNNNNNNNNNNNNNNNNNNNNNNNNNNNNNNNNNNNNNNNNNNNNNNNNNNNNNNNNNNNNNNNNNNNNNNNNNNNNNNNNNNNNNNNNNNNNNNNNNNNNNNNNNNNNNNNNNNNNNNNNNNNNNNNNNNNNNNNNNNNNNNNNNNNNNNNNNNNNNNNNNNNNNNNNNNNNNNNNNNNNNNNNNNNNNNNNNNNNNNNNNNNNNNNNNNNNNNNNNNNNNNNNNNNNNNNNNNNNNNNNNNNNNNNNNNNNNNNNNNNNNNNNNNNNNNNNNNNNNNNNNNNNNNNNNNNNNNNNNNNNNNNNNNNNNNNNNNNNNNNNNNNNNNNNNNNNNNNNNNNNNNNNNNNNNNNNNNNNNNNNNNNNNNNNNNNNNNNNNNNNNNNNNNNNNNNNNNNNNNNNNNNNNNNNNNNNNNNNNNNNNNNNNNNNNNNNNNNNNNNNNNNNNNNNNNNNNNNNNNNNNNNNNNNNNNNNNNNNNNNAGUUUUACAUAGAUGUCUAUCUGAUUCAUCGUUUUUUUUUUCUCAUUAGUUUGGUAUUCCAAGUUUCAAACUAUGUUGAAGUCAAUUUUUGCAAAGAUAUAAUGUGGUAUUGAGAAUACCGAACAUAUUCGUGCCCUUAAUGAAGUUUGGUACUCUUAAGUACCGAACAUAAGAGAGAGACAAUAGCUCAGUAGUGAGAGUACCGAGUGUAACGUUUUCAAGAAUAAAUUUGUCUAAUAUUAGUCAUUACUUUCUAAUAUAGUAUUAAUAAUCCAUUUAUUGUUUUCGUUUGUAGCCACAACCCUCAAGGAAGAACAUAGGGUAGGUAGGAUGAAAAUGCCCUUGUGGUCAAGAGUACCUUGUAGCGUCAUUUUUAAACAAGAUUUUUGUUGGGGGCGAGGCCAAUCUUGCGUAUGGAGGCCCAAGCUAACUUUUGUUUUACAUUAAAAACCGGUCCGACACAUGAAAUAUUAGGCAGGAUUUAGUUUAAUACUAUAAGCCGGUUUAACAUAACCGGCUUUUCAUUUUUUGCGAUUGAAGUCAUUCCUAUACUCACAAGUGCAUGACAUGCGUACAUGGAAUGGCCUUGCCGUUUAUACAAAAUUUAAAAAUGAGGCCAGUCCGGCAUUUCAAGCAUCAGACCGAUUACAUCAUCUAAAACCCAUUUAAAAUCCGAAGUGCCUGACCAGACUCGCUUUUAAUAAAACCCUUGCUUAAAAACAAGGCUACAAGGCAUGACUAGAGGGAUAUUUUCAUCAUCAGAUACUCAUCGUCCUUACUUGAGGAAGUAUGGGCAAAAGAAAAAAGUAAAUAUAUUAAAGUCUGAUACAAGGGGGUGUACGUAAUUUCCUCUGAAUUUGUUUAGUAUUCAACUUUAUUAAAGGCAAAGAAUAUGUUCACAAUCUCAGUACUGAACAAUAUUUUUUAUCAAACCACGUUCUAGGAGUACUGAACUAACAUUGCAAGUUUAAGCACUCUAUUUCUUACACCUCUCUCAUUAUGCUGACGUGGAUCGUGCGGUUAAGAACUAGUCGGUCUACUAAUCUCACUCGCUCUCUCAAAUCAUGAUUAUCAAGAGGGAUUGCAUAUUAUGAGACCAUUUAUCUUUGUUACAAGAAGGUCAUAAUUACUCUUAACUAUUAGAGGUAAAAUUAGAUGGUUUAGAGUGUGUCACGAUAUUGAUAAUUUUUUUUUGAACUUUGAGUGUAAUUAAUGACACUUUUAUAGCCAUCUGAUUUGAAAUGUAGUUGACAAAAGUGUUUGUGAGCUCUUUGUACCAAAAGUAAAUAGUUUUUUUAUAUAUAUUUUUCCUUAUCAUGCUCCCAUAUCUAUAUGAGUCAACCGACUCAUAUGUGGCUCCCCUAUUAAACUAUUUUAAAAAUAGAGUUUAAUCUAAAAUUUAGGUUAAGAUGAUCAUAAAAAUGAAUUUUUUUUGAUAUUAAAAUAUAAUUACAAUAUUCAGCAUAUAAAAC
This 53645-nucleotide long non-coding RNA is filed under the name Amborella trichopoda. RNAcentral's name for it is "long non-coding RNA (ATRI_LNC004642)". The record is from RNAcentral. Lineage: Eukaryota; Viridiplantae; Streptophyta; Magnoliopsida; Amborellales; Amborellaceae.